Molecule: long non-coding RNA, 44680 nt
Filed under: Ananas comosus (pineapple)
Lineage: Eukaryota; Viridiplantae; Streptophyta; Magnoliopsida; Poales; Bromeliaceae
Description: long non-coding RNA (ACOM_LNC016224)
Source: RNAcentral
UGGAUUUUAUAAGUAUAGAUACAAUGGGAUUUCUUGAAAACAAGUGGUAGAAUAAGAAUAUUCUGGGAUGCCGAGUUCAUAAGAUCAUCAUCUAAUAAGAGAUCCUCGAAUAGAAUUUUUUUAUUUCUUUUCCCUUCAUUCAACAAUCAUUCACUCGCCCUAAUUUUUUUUUUUUCCUGCUUAUGUAACCACAACUUGGUCUACAACUUUCUCUCUGUGUCUCAGGUUUUUCGUGAUAUUUGUGUAUACAUUUUCUUAACUUUCUGGUAAAUAUAUUGAGCGACAUGAACGGACCACGCAUCAUAGUUAAUCAAUAUUCGUGGGUGGAACUUCUCUAUUUUGAGAAGCAGCAGUUAAAUAAUUGGCAAGCAAAAAAGAUUAAAUCUUUUGUUUUAGUUGAAAGCUAGAAUGAGCCUAAUUAGAUCCAAAUUUGAGUCCCGCUGCUGUUGUUACUAAUUAGCUGUUGCAGGAUCUUAAUAAAAAAAAAAAAGAUAACCUGUUUGUGCUUCUUCAAACAUCUUUUUACUCAUACAACACUUUUGCAGAAACUCCAUUGGGGCUUAACAAGCCUUCGAUGUGAAAAUAUAUAUCGAAGUUCGUUUUUCUUUUUCUUGUAGUUCAUCUGCACACAAUUGUGUUGGGUUUCUCCAAAAUAUGAUCUUACAUUCAUAUUUGUACUUUAUGCGGUCUCCAUGCAGGGUCAUGUACUCAUCAUGCAGGAUGCUGAAUCUGGUAAUUUGAAGUGUAAAUGGAGGAGAUUUUCUUUAGUAAUGUGAUCUUUGUUCAUGUUUUGGAUUCGAAGAUUGUGUGUAUUGUUCUCUGCAAGAUAAAUGUUGUUCUUUUUUUUUCAGAAUCCUAACUAAUGUAAAAUUAGUAAUGUGAUUUUUCUUCUUUGUAAUGUAUUCGAAUAUGUAUCCACAUACAUCUGUAAACUGAAGUACCAUGAAAUGUAAUAUUUUGGUUGUAAAAAAAUAAAUACUUUUUCCGUGUCUUUUUUUUUUUUGGGUCAGCAACUUGUGUAGAAUCUCAGUACUAUCCUGAUAUUACUUUGUCUUUGAACUUGUUACUGCAACAUUGUAGUCACUGAACUUUCUCAUAUGUUGCGAUUUUAUUCUCUUUUCGCAAAAAAAAAAAAGAAAAAAAAAAGAAAAAAAGAAUCGUGGUAUAUGUGGGAACAUAUUCUAAUAAUCCAACUAAUGCUUUAGAUUUUUUGUAAUAUCUAUUGUUUUUUCUUGUGGUUGUUGUAUUAGUAAUUUUAUGUGACAUUUUUGGUCAGUGUGCAUCAAUUACUUAAAUUUCUCAACAUCAUAAUGUUGAUACAUUAAUAAUAUAUAAGAGUAGUAUUUUUGAGAGAUAGGUAGCAUGCUAUCCACUUCCUUUAUUUUAUUUAGAAGUAAACUUAGCUAGAAAUGCGAAUCAACUAGGAUUCGAACUUGAGUCUCGGGUACCAACCACCAAGCCCUUUGUCACUUGCUCUAGUGACAGUUGGUCUCUACAUCAUAAUGUUGAUACAUUAAUAAUAUGAAGUUAUUCGUGUAUUGCGGCAGACUAAUGCUAUAUAAGAUAGAAGAUUGAUAAAAUAAAAAUUUUAAAAUUUUUUCACUAGCCAUGAGAUAUCAAUAAAUAAAGAUAAUAUAUUAAUAUAUACAGAUAGAAAAGAUGAAACAAAUAUAAAUACAGAUACAACAAAAUUUAUAAUUUUAACAAAUAAAUUAUAUAUUAUAAUAAUGAAAGAAACAGCAAUACAGUUACUACUCCAUCGCACCUUGAUCGCACUGUCGAUAUCGGGGAGGUGAAUCUCGAUCUCCACAUCGCGUUCGCCUCUAUUGUCGGCGUUAAGCUCCUCCUUGGUCAUGGCCACGUCUAUUCCGGACUGAUCCCCUCAAACCCACCACUUAUUUCUCCUCAUCGACUCCAAAUACUUUGCCGCUUCCUUGCUUCGUGUCACGUCGCGAUCCCCCGAACCCUAAUUUCAAUCUAUACACAAUUUAAAAAACAAGUUAAGAAAAUUACAAAAUAUUAACCUUUCUUGUGCCCCAAAAAAAAAGAAAAAAAAAUGUAAGGAAAAAGAGUAUAAAGAUAUUUUAUUUUACUCGUCUUUUUUUUGUGAAAGUGAAUUUCAAUCUCCCUGUCACCUUUGCUGCCAUUGUCGGCAUCGAGUUCCUCUUUGGUCACGGCCAUUGAUUCCAUACGGAUCCCCUACACCCAUCGCUUCUUCUCCUUCAUCGAUUCUAAAUCCAUCGCCGCUUCUCCUAGUCGUGUCGCGCCCGCGAAACGUUAAUUUCGAUCCUAACACAAUUUUUUAGAAAAAUUAAGAAAAUUAUAAAAUAUGAAUCCUUCUUGUGCGCCAAAGAAAAAAGAAAAAAGAAAAAAAAUGUAAAGAUAUCUUAUUUUACUUUUUUCUUGUAAAAGUGAUUUGUCUAGAUGACAAUGAACCAUAUGAAUACAUUAAUUGUGAGAUGGGCAGGUGGGAAGACGAAGCAUCGGACAAAGAUUGUGAGUGGGAAAGUGAAACAUCAGGAAGUGGGAUGGAGGAGAAGGCAAGGUGAAGGAAGAACCGUCACGUGGCAAAUUUUAUGAGAAAUAAUGUAAAGGAAUAAACAAAUUUUAUGAAAAAUAAUGUAUAUAUAUAGGUAUAGAACUAUAGAUUAGUCUUGGUUCAGAAUCCUCCUUUUCUUCUGAUUGAAGGGAAGGGUCUUCUUCGGCGGAUCUCUCUUGUUCCUGUUUUGUCUCCUUCAUUUUGGAGUUAAUAUAUAGCAGAUAGAUAUUUAAUAUCUUAUUGAACCGAUAAAAACUGCACCAUUAAAAUUUAAGGAAUAGCAAAUUGCAAUACGAAUAAUUAAAUACAAAUCAAAAUGCAAUUAAGCUAUAGAUUUAAUCAGCUUCAAUGUGUAAUUGCAAAGAUCUCUAGAAUUUUAUUCAAAGUGGUCCCCAUCAUCGUGCACUUGUAUAUGACAUAGGCAACAUCUCUAUCUAACCGUGUUUGGAAUCUAGUACUCACCCUGAUACUAGAUUUUAAAAAUCUGCAAUCCAUAUUGAUACCGACUGUCCUAAAUUCGGUACCAUUGUUGAAAUUUCGUAACAAAAGUAUUAAAUCGGAUUUUUACCAUAAACUCAGCAAAUAGCUGACACAAUCGAUCAUAAAAAAGAAAAAUUCAAACAGAAAAUAUGAAUAAAAUAAAAUUUACUAAAUAAAAAAUGAAUUAAACCUGAGCCCUAUUCUAUUGAGUAGUUUCACCGGGAUCACCCGUCUCUCGUUGUCUAUAAAAUAGAAGACUACUCUUUUUGAACUCUCUCUCUCUCUCUCCAACUUGGUACGACUUCAACUCUUUAGUGCUAUAUAUAUAUAUAAUACUUAACCAAAGAUAUAUCCAAAUCUAAUACAAUUAGGAAUCCUAGUCUAAUUAAAUUUUAAAUCUAAAUUAAUUUAUCUUCAAACGAUUAAAAUAUUUAUUCUAAUUCAACUAGGAAUAAAUUAUAAAUCUAACCCAACCCUAACAAACAGCUAAAAUUUUUUGGGUUGGGCUUGAGCCUUUGAACAUCCACGACUCCAUGCUCUCUCUAGCUUCUCCCGGGAUGAAGCCUAAGUUGAUGAGAUUGAGGGGUUAAUUUGACCAAGCUAAUAGUGAUGAUGGUUAUAAAACUAAUAUACAAGGCCUAUAACAUUUCCUCUUCAAUUUUAAAUAAAUUGCUUUACUUCGUGAAUUAUGUCAUGUAUAUAAUUUUUUAUUAUAGGUAAACUCCAAAUUAGCAAAUAAGCUUUUUCUAGAAUGCCUUUUCUUUCGCAUUUGACGAGGUACUCAUCUAUUAAAAAGAUGACAAAUACAGUGUCAACAAAAAAAAUAACGCAAAGCGUCCAAUGGUGGCUGUGGUAGCAGGUUACAGAACGAGGUGGCGAUGGAGGUGGGCAGCAGCGGCAUGCAGUUUCACCACCGUAGAUAUCAAAAAAGAGCCUAGGUCUCUGUGGCGGGGAUGCGGUUCUUUCUCAAUGGUAUAGUGCAUUCUUCAUCUUUUUUUUUGUUUUAGUGUUAUUUGAUUUUAUGCCGUGAGUAAUUAUUUAGUAUUAAUAUUUUAUUUUUAAAAUUUUUUUUGAACUAUUUGGGAUUCAAUUCGUACCAUUUUUUUACCUUUGUUUUAUGUCUUUUUCUUUUAUUUUCUGUUAGAUUAAAUUUUGUGGAGUAAACUAUAUGGAUAAGUCGCUACAUUAUUUGGAUAUUACAACAAAUGUGUCAUUACCAAUAAGAUAAACUGCAUUCUGAUUAGGUUUUAGAAACUUCAUCGAAAUCAAAAAAUUCAAUAACGUAUCCAAAAUUUUGAAAAAAUAAUUCUCAAAAUGUAGUUAUAUAUUGAUGUUUUUUCUUUACAUUUUUAUUUGUUUAUUUAAUUCGCAAAUUUUAAUAUGAUAAUUUCGUCUUUGUUUCUUUAUGUAAUUUACAAAUUUUUACUAUAAUAAUUUCUAUCCGCUGCAUCGCGCGGGUCUCUACACUAGUUAUUAAUUAAUUAUUAAUUAACACUGCAAUUUUUGACAAAUCUAAAUAGAAUUAAAAAACAAAAAUUCAGUGAAACUUAUUUUAAAGGGUUAAUUUCAUACAGAUCCCUACAAACAUAGUGAAUGACAAAUAUAUUCCUACAAAAUUCAACUUUCAUAUUUGUUCAUGCAAAAGUCCUAAUAUUUUCAAAUUUGUUUCUCUGAUUUAUUACCGUUAGAAAACUAUUUAUAUUUCUAAUUUUGCCAUCACAAAUAUAUACAUCUAAAAGUCAUAACAGUAUGAGUGCGGCUGGUAUGCUUCUUGAAGCACGGAGCGCUCCGUGCUUCCAAGUCAUUUUCGAUGUUGGGACUUUCGAAUCAACGAUCAGUUCCGUUAGAUUUGAUUUAGAGUAUUUUAAGUAUUUAGAAAAUAAUUUUUGCGAUUUUUUGAUAUCAUUUGCCUAGUGAUCGAAGUGGUUCAAAAUCAACGGCUGAAAAUAAAAAUAUUGAUCUUGUUUUAUAUAGUAUAAAGAAAUUUCUAUCAAAAUUUCACGUGAUUUGAAUAUUUCUACACCGUUAAACUUGCAAAUGGCUCAACGCGGCCAUUAAAAUUAUUAAUUUUGAGCCCCUUGAUUACUAGGCAAAUGAUAUCGAAAAAUCACAAAAUUUAUUUUCUUGGUACUUCAAAUACUCUAGAUCAAGUUUAACGGAGCCGAUCGUCGAUUUGAAAGUCCCAACAUCGAAAACGACUUGGAAGCACGGAAGGCUCCGUGCUUCCAGAAGCAUACCAACUAACUCUAACAGUAUAAUAUAAAAAGAUAAAAAUGUCAAAAACUAUUCAGGAUUAAGUAUUUAACCUAUGAUUUACUAAUUUUUUCUAAUUGAUUCUAACGGCAGCGAUAUAUUUUAAAACAUCGGGACUUUUGUAGAGACAAAAUAUGAAUGUUGAAUUUUGUAGGGAUAUAUAUAUAUUUGCCAUUCACUAUAUUUGUAAGGGUCUGUACGAAAUUAACCCUAUUUUAAAAUAAUAAAAUUUAUUUGCAUUUUCUUUUAUUAAUUGUUCAACAAGUGAUUAAAAAUCACUUUUACUGUGCUUACUUUUUCUAAUUUUUCUAAAACUACAGUUUUAUUUUGUUAGGAGAAAAUAUCAUAAGAGAGGGAUAAAAUGUUUGGUCCAGUAAAAUAAUAUGAAAUAAUUAUUACACAGUGGUCCCCAAUCUUUGCACCAAUUUUUACCUCGGUCCCAACUUUUUUUUUUUUACAAUUGAUUCCUAAUCUUUUGAUUUUAUUACAAUUACGUCCCAAUCGUUAAAAAAAUUGUUAAAAUUAAUUGAAUCGCCACGUUAGCGCUUAUUUGAUAUCCUUAAUUUUCAUGUUAAUUUAAGUCCCUAAACUUUACAUGUUUUUCACUUUAGUUUCUAAAAAUAAAAAUUCAAAAUUUUAAAUUUAAAUUUAAAAAUAAUACUAAAAUUAAAAUUUUAAACUAACAAAAAAUUAGAAUUUUGAAUUUGAAUUUAAAGCUGAAUUUAAAUUUUGAAUUUAAAUUCGCAUUUUAAAUUUAAAUUUUUAAUUGAAUCUAAAUUUUGAAUUCAAACUUAAAAUUUUGAUUUUGAUUUUGAUAUUUCAAUUUACACUUAAAAUGAAAGUUUUGAAACUGAAAUUUAAAUUUAAAAUCUGAAUUUAAAUUUAAAAUCAUAUUCAAAAUUUUGAUUUUAAAUUUUAAAUUUGAAUUUAAGAUUUGAUUUCAAUUCUAAAUGUGAAUUUAAACUUCGAAUUCAAAUUCACAUUUUGAAUUUGAAAUUUCAAAUCGAAGGUUGAAAUUAAAUUAGAAUUUCGAAUUCGAAAUGUGAAUUUGAAUUUAAAAAUAAAAAAUUUAAAAUUAAAUACAAAAUUGGAUUUCGAAUUCCAAUUUAAAUUUGAAUCCAAAAUCAAAUUUUAAAAUUUAAAUUUAAAAUCUUAAAUUAAAAAUCUUGCUUUGAAUUUAUAAAUUUAAUAGGUUAAUUACACCAUUGGUUCCCAACCUUUGUACCGUUUUUUAAUUUGGUCCCCAAUCUUUUUUUUUUUUACAAUCCAUUGACACAACGCCACCAUGGCACUGACGCGGCAACUCUGUGGCGCUGACAUAACGCCUCCGUGGCACUUAUAUAUAUGGUGCUGACGUUGUAUUUUUCGUCAAUUUUAACAUCUAUUUAACGGCUGAGACUUAAUUAUAAUGAAAUCAAGAGAUUUAGGAUUUGAUUGCAAAAAAAAAAAAAAAUUGGGACCAAAUUAAAAAACGGUGUAAAGAUUAGGGGCCAAUGGUGUUAUUAACCCAAUAAAUUAUUUUGUCUCGAAAAAUUUAAAUCAUGUUAAACAAUUUUACUAAUAUUUGAGUUUGUGAGUUUGAGACUUUUUAAUAGAAUCUAAAAUGUAGGUGUGAAUUAAAUAAAAUAAUUAAAUAAAGCUAGGAGAGGCUUUUUAAUAGAAUCUAAAAUGUAGAUUUGAAUUAAAUAAAAUAAUUAAAUAAAGCUAGGAGAGGCUUUUUAAUAGAAUCUAAAAUGUAGAUUUGAAUUAAAUAAAAUAAUUAAAUAAAAUUAAGUGUGUAAUAGGAUUUAAAGUCCGAACUCAGAAUAUAAUAAAUAGCUGACCAUAUUCUCUCCUUAGGUCUAGGAAUGUCAAUGGGUAUGGAUAUCCAAAAUUUUAUCCGAACCCGAACUCGAAUAAAAUGGAUAUAUCCGAUGAAUAUGGAUAUAGAUUCGGAUAUGGAUAUCAAAAAUAGAAAUCCGGCGGAUAUGGAUUCGGAUAUGGAUUCUUACUAUACCCGACCUGAACCUGAACCCGAAAUUAUUUUGUAUUAUAUAUAUAUAUAUAGAGAAUUAGACUGGAAUACUAUUNAAAUAUAACAUCAAAUAUAUAUAUAUAUAUAUAUAUAUAUAUAUAUAUAUAUAUAUAUAUAUAUAUAACACCCGAAUAAAUGGAUUCGGAUAUGAAUAUAAAAAAUAGAAACCCGACGGAUAUAGAUUCGGAUAUGGAUUUUGAUUGUACCCGAUCCGAACCCGAACCCGAUUCGAAUCCGAAUUUAUUAUAUAUAUAUAUAUAUAUAUAUAUAUAUAUAUAUAUAUAUAUAUAUAUUUGAUGUUAUAUUUGAAUUUGUAUUUAAAAAAUUUAGAUUUAAUAUAAUAUAUUUUGAAAUAUUGAAAACAAAAAUAAUUGUUUCGGAUUCAAAUUUUCGGGUUCGGGUUUGAGUUCGGAUUCGGAUUUCGGGUUUUGGUCGGGUUCGGUUUUGAAUAUGGAUUUUUAAAAUCCGUCGGAUUCGGAUUCGAGUUCGGGUUUCGGGUUUGGAGUCCGGUUUGGAUAACCCGAAAUUAUUUUGUAUUAUAUAUAUAUAUAUAGAGAAUUAGACUGGAAUACUAUUAAUAGUAAAACGCUCUCUUUACUAUCAAGUUUUUAACCCUUGGAUGAAAAAUUGUAGGGUCAGGAUAAUAUUAGUCGGUUAGAGUUGAGUGGUCCCCCUAGGGUUGAGUGGUCCCCAUUGGGUUAUAAUAUUUAACCCAAUGAUUAAAAAUAAUGAAAAGAGUUGAUCCAAAGGUUAAAAACUGGUAGCAACAAUGAAAUUUUGCUACUAAUAGUAGCCCAGUCCAACUAUAUAUAUAUAUAUAUAUAUAUAUUUGAUGUUAUAUUUGAAUUUGUAUUUUAAAAAUUUAGAUUUAAUAUAAUAUAUUUUGAAAUAUUGAAAACAAAAAUAAUUGUUUCGGAUUCAAAUUUUCAGGUUCGGGUUCGGGUUCGGAUUCGGAUUUCGGGUUUUGAUCGGGUUCAGUUUUGAAUAUGAAUUUUUAAAAUCCGUCGGAUUCAAAUUUGAGUUCGGGUCUCGGGUUUGGAGUCAGGUUCGGAUUCGAAUUUUUAAAAAUUCGUCCGGAAUCCGACCCGUUGACGUAUCUACAUAGGUCCAACCCACCACCGACGCCGGAAUUAGCACGUGGUACGUAACGUACGUUAACUAUAUAAACUAAUAUAUUAAAAUAGUUAAAUUAAUUAUUUAAUAAAUAGAGAUAUUUGAAUAGUCUUUUGGUAAAUAGAGAUAGUACUAGCUAAGGGCCGCGUAUCACGGCGAGGAGAAAAUACUUCAGUUAUUUUUUUAAAAUAUAUUAUUUUAUGAGUAUAUAAAAAAAUAUAAUAGUAUACUAAAUAGAAAAUAUACUUCCACAAGUCAGAUAUAAUAUUUCGCAUUAACUUUAUAUAAAACACAUUCAUUUCAAAAAUUUUACAAUAUUAAAUAAAAUGAAAAUUAUAUUAAUUUUUUUUAGUAAUUUUUAUUAAUUAUAGAUUGUAUUUAUUAGAUGAAAUUUUAAUUUUGUUAUAUUGUCUAUUAAAAAAUAGAAUUCAUCCAUACGAUAAUUAUUUAAAAAAAAGAUUUGGUUCAUAUUUUAUUUAUUAAAAAAUAAGGUUGAUCUGUACGAUAAUUGUUUAAGCAAAAGGUUUGGUUCAUAUCUUAUAAAUUUUUUAUUAAGUAUACUAUUAAAAAAUACGAUUGGUUCAUACGAUAAAAUUUUACACUUGGACUAGACAAAAACAUUUAUUAAUAAUAGAUUGUAUUUAUUAAAUGAAAUUUUAAUUUUGUUAUAUUGGUUAUUAAAAAAUAGGAUUGGUAUGUGCAAUAAUUAUUUAAAAAGAAGAUUUGGUUCAUGUCUUAUACUAUUAAAAAUAGGGUUGAUUCAUGCGAUAAUUAUUUAAAAAAAGGGUUUGUUUCAUGUCUUAUACACUUGGUGUACAAUUUUUUUUACACCAUAUAUAAAAAUCUAUUAAUUUUUGUAUAUAAAUUUUUUAUUGAACUAGCUAGGUUGAAAUACUAUUAAUAACACCAAACUAUUUGUGCUAUUAGUUUUUUAGCUCAUAGAUUGAGAAACAUGCGGUUAGGAUAAUAUGGGCCCUUUAGGUUUGAGUGGGUGGUUGUUGAACAGUAUAAUCUAACGGGUAAAAAUAAUCAAAGGAUUAAAUCUAACGGUGGAAAACUCGAUAGCACCAAAUCCUCGGUGCUAUCAAAAAUAUCCCAACCGGACUCUUUUUUAUUAAUUAUAUUAUUAAAAAUUAAAGUUGGUUCAUGCGAUAAAAUUUUACACUUAGUAUAGACAAAAAUAAAAAAGAAAAAGUGUUGCGAGAAAAAAAAAAAUUUAAAAAAAAGUGUAGGUGUGUGAGAGAAUUCAAACUUUUUAUGGAAAUUACAACAAAUAUGUGAGCUUGUAAUUUCCAAACUUGAUGUAUAAAUACAUCAAAUUCGCUUGUUUUGUCAUUCGAUAGAAUACUGUUUCGUUUCGUCAAAUAAUAAAUUUCGUGUUUUUGGUGCGCACAUAUGUUCUAAAAAUAUUUACCCAGCACUUUGGUUAUUUUUAUAUUAACAAUCAUAGCGGCAAAUAGCAUAACAGAUCAAUUUGAUAUUAUUGAAUAUAUGUUAAUAAAACACGGUUUUCUAAUAGCUAAAAUUUGUAGAAAUAAAAUUUUCUUUUCCACACGGGUGUUCUCGAUCUAAUAGCUAACAUUUUUAAAGAUAUAUGUUAAUAAAACAUGGUUCUCUAAUAGUUAAAUUUUUAGAGAUAGAAUUUUUCUUUCACAAUGUUUAAAAUAGUGUCAAAUAUGUAAGGCCAAUUAAAAAAUCUCGACUACAGACAUUAUAUAAUUAGCUGUGUACUUUUAGUUAACCACUAACUUUCAUUAAUUAUUCUCAUACACACUUGUUAAGAGUUCAUAUGUGAAUAGUCCGACAUCGAAUAGUUAUUAGAGAGCAAAAUAUUUUAUAUCUAUAUAUUAGUAAAUCUAAAUUUAAUAGACUUAAGCUUUUAGUCACAUCCCUCGUGUUUGGGAUGGGCAGAAGUUUAUAAUAACAUGUGUGAACCACAUAGCAGUAAAUUUAUUAUUUUUGGUGAAAUUUAUUUUAACGUUUACUGUAUUUAGUUAUAAUAAAUUAUCUCUUAUAGAGUUCAUAGAAAAUUCAGAUUCAAAAAAUUAUUGAGAGGGUUAAAUGACCAUCAUACCUAUAUAUAUUAGCGUUUGCUUAAUCAUGCAUUUAAGGACAAUAUGAAGAUAAAAUAAAUGUAAUUGCUUCUAAAAGUGGAAAGAAAAAAUAGCAAUAAUAGAUUGGGAGUCGUACAAUAUAGAAAUAGUAUAAGAGACCAUUUAAUAGGUUGGGGUUCGAUCUCCCACCAAUGCAUUUAUAAAAGAGGAUGUUUGGAAAAAAUAUAUGUGAAUACUUUAGGAGGUUUUGGAGUGGGGCCUACUGGCUCUAAUAAAACCAUCAAAAUUACACAUAGUUUACUGAUUUCUUCAAAAGAUUAAGGGAUGCGAAUCUGAGUUCCAAUUUAACAAGAACUCUCGAAUACAAGUUUUUACGAUAGAAAUUGACAGAUUAAAUUAUAAAAAGCCCUCAUCCAAAACCAGGCAAAUAUACACGUAAUUAACUACACCUGGGCAUCAUGAUCAUAUAUAAAAGAACUUAGAAAAUUAAGUAAAAAUAACAUUGCUCACAUCCAAUUAUACACCAAGAGAUUAAUUAACUGAAGACAUACAGAAAAUACAAUUCAGCAUCUACUGAUCAAAUCAUUUCAUUGCAUUAUUAUAUUAUUAGUUGCACCGGGGUAUACAUUACAUCAGUCUCCAUCAAGAAAUUAAUGAAUCUUAAUUGAAUAACAAAGCAGAGAAACUAUUAUCAUACCUAGCUCCGUUAAUAAUCCCCCCAAUUACAUUAAUUGAACCCAGGAUUAGACUUCAUAAAAAAUUAAGGGGCGAACUAAUUAUUAUUAUUACUAUAAACAGAAAUGAGAUCGAGUACGUAGAGCAGGAACGAUCAGUCUCACGAAUCUCGCAGCAACAGCAAUGCUUCCGCGGCCAGCAGUUCAUCGGCAUCAAACUUAUCGUCAUCGUGGUCUUCGCGUACUUCGUCACCCUUCUUGCGGCUCAACAGGGCCAUGCCGAGGCCGCCGCAGCACCGGAACGCCCAGAUGUCGACGCGGUCGCCCGCGCGCAACCCGUUGCGUUUCACGAAGCGGCCCCAGCUGCCGAUGAGGCGGAAGUCGCCAUUGGAGUCGAGGAAUUUGAACGUCAUGGCGUGCUCCCGCCCCAGUCGGUCGAACACCCUCACGGGGAGGCCGCGCUCGCGGUCGACGACGAGCGCGGCCUCGUCAGACGUGACCAGGUCCCGCAGCGACGUCGUGGCCGUCACCUGUUUGUGGGUCAGCAGCAGGCGGCUCUGCUGGCUGCUGACGUCCGACCCCGACAGCUCCUUCUGCAGUAUCCACGUCGGCUGGCUCACCCCCUCCCGCAGCAGCGCCGACAGAAUUCCGACGCACCGCGACGGCUUUGGCGCACCGCCGCUGCCUGCAGGACGAUUGUUGGGCCGCGGGCUGCGUUUCUUGGCGGGGAUGAUCGGAGAAGCCGCAGCGGUGCUGACGGCAUCAGCUGGGGGGUCUCUCCUCGGCUUCUUCCUCACCGGUGGUUGCACGGAGUGCCCCAGCUCAUGAUCUUGCGCGUUCUCGAGAUCCGGCGGCUCGGAUCGAUCGGGAGCGUCGGCGCGGUUUCGCUUCGUCUCCUUGAAGAUGGCCAUUGAUGGUUUCUUGAAGCUUCGAUCGGCCGGGAGCUCUUCCGGAUGAUCAAGAAGCUGCUGCGUACGUGAUCGGGGGGAGAGAGAGAGAGAGAGUUGUAAGUGGUUACGCACGUCGCGUAGCAUAAAGUAUAUAAGACAUGCAUAUAGAUACGUACAUACGUAGCGCAAUUCCUAAUUCUACUCGAAUCAUGAUUAAUCUUACCGUUGAUGAAUAUUCUUACCGUUAAUGAUUGUGAUAACUCGUGUUGGUAACUUCGAGUCGAAGGCGAUCGUGCGUUCACCAAAUACGCCCCGGGAUCGAUGCUGAGAUUUGAGACUUCAGAGCCGUUGGAUCAGGUUCAUAAUGCAUUGUUUUUUUCAAAAAAACGAAAAAGGAAAAAAAUCGCUGAGACACGGGAAGUCAAUUGAGUUUAUUUUUUUUAGUUUUUUUAUAUAUACGCAUAUUAAUUUAUGACCACACCUAGAAUUUGAUUAUUAAUGCUAAUUCAAUAGAAAUAAGUUUAAAAUCAAGAUAUUAAUUAAUUUUUAAAAUCAAUAGUAGAGAAAAUUUUAUUUAUUGAUUCAUAAAAAUAAGAGGAAGUGACAAAGACUUUGAUAAUUAAUACCCGAGACUAAGUUCGAAUUCUAAUUGAUUCACAUUUCUAGUUAAGUUUAUUUCUAAAUGAAAUAAACGAAGCGGGUAGCGUGCUAUCUAUCUCUCAAAACAAAACAAAAUUGUGCGCGCUACAAUAUUGCUAAGGCAGAACGUUUCAUCGAUCCUACUUAAUAAAAGUUACUAUUAAAAGGACCGACCAAUUUAAACAUUAAAAAAACUUAAGGAUAUAAUUGUAACAAAUUUAAACUUAUUUAAAAUUUAUCGCAUAAAAAUCAAAAUCACACCCAUUUAUUUAUUUAUUUAUUUAUUUGUUUGUUUUUUGUAAAACAAGAUAACUGCUAAGAUCGCACUGUUAACUAACUUCACACGCGCGCAAUCAGAGUCACCAAUCUCCUUCAAUUCCAGCCUCUUAUCUAACUUGUCGCAAGUAUAAAUAUCACAAUUGUUAUAAUCGGCACAACAAAUAAUAGAUUUAGAAAAAUAAUUAAUACAGAAAAAAAAAAAAACACAUCGAAAUUUAUAUGAUUCAGCUAUGGAUAAAGACAGGAGCAAAAUUUUUUAUUAAUAUCAAAGGUGGAGUGCAAAAAUUAAAUCUAUGACAAAAUUUAAAUUUUCAAACACCUAAUUUUGCAUGCCGAUCUAGACUCCGAAGUAGCUCGGCUCGCGAACGGACACAACUUGGGCUCGGCUCUCUCCAACAGUGCACUGCUUGGUGAUCGGUAUUGCUGCGUCUGUACGACGACCAACAAAAAAAAAAAAAAGAAAAAAAGAAAAAAGUUAAUUAGCUUUAUGUAAUUGGAGCCGCUCUAAAAGCAACAUACGCCAUCUCCCCCCUAUCCGUUUACUUAAUUAAUUAGCAUGGGGCCUAAUUAGCGAUGCGGCUUCCCUAACAUGACGGUGGUAUAUAUAUGCAUAUAUAAUGUAUAGCUCCAAAUUAGAGUAUAAUUCUAAUUACAAUUUAGUUAGAUUCCUAUUUAUACUCUCUAUAGGUCAAGUAAAAUUUAAAUUAUAUCUUAUUCUAAUUAGAUUAGAAUUUUAUUUUAAUUUAUAUAACUAUAAAUUUAAACCAAAAUUAUAACAACAAUUGUCUGUAAAAAAGUUUGAAAAUAUUUUAUUAAAAGCCUUUAAUGGUGUUAAGGCAAUCUCACCGUUGACGAGGCCCAGCGAUCUAAGUUUGUGGCAGCCCUGCCGGUGACCGCGUGCAACAAAGACCCCGUCUGCACCCUGCAAAAGUGGGUUUCGAUCAGCGACACGAGCGGCCACCACCACCACUGCUUCUUGCGCCCGUGCGACGCGUUGACGGGUGCGAAGCAGCUGGAAAGGAAGCACCUGCACCUGAUCAUGUUGGAAAUCAUGCGGUUCGUCGGCGAGAACCGGAUGCGCGAGGCCCAGGUAUUCGAGCCGUGGGCGUACCGCGAAGUCGAGAAGCUCAAGCUGGGCGUGUUGAACUGCAACGCGCCUCGGCCUAAUCCUGCAUUCUGCAACCACUGCUGCUGAUCGACAGGAGUCGUCCGCGGGGGCGCAAGACGUGAAUGUUUUUGAUGCUCCAGCUUUGGUUGUGCGCAACAUCCUGAAGCAGCGCGACCGCAUCUUCGCCCUUACGAGCCGAAACUGGUUCCGUUCGAUUAUGUUACAGAGGCUACAAUGUUGUUGUUGUUGUUGUUGUCCGUGAUUUUGAUUCACAAAUUCAAUUGAACAAGAAAGAAUUGAGAGUGCGUAGGCUGUAUACGUACGUCCCCAUCUGUGCUUUAAAAUAGAUUUUGUAAAUUACAAUAGAGACUCUUAAAUUGGGAGAGUAGUUGGAUUACAAUAUGCAAUGGGUUGUAGAGUCAACAGUUUUUUUUUUUUUUUUUUGUUUACUUUAUUUUUAUUUUUUUUAUUCGAGACUGAAUUGUCUUAAUUUUUGUAGUUGAAUUUAAUUCAACUACAAAAAUUAAGACAAUUCAGUCUCGAAUAAAAAAAAUAAAAAUAAAGUAAACAAAAAAUAAAAGACAAAACUUAGAAAACUAAAGUAAAAUAAGUAAAUAAAAUUUAAAAAAAGUGAAACUAAAAAAAGUUCACUUAAUUAGAUAUAGUUGCGGAACUUAGUUCACUUCUUUCUAAGUCUCAAACUCGUCCAACCAUGAUUAAAGAAUCUGAAGAUUGAUUCUUAAAAAUCACGUUAUCUCUUUCACGCCAAAUCAGCUGCUAACAGAUUGUAUUCUUUGAUAUGAUCUUUCGCUAAUACCCUUUGUUAGCGAUUGUCAAACAGAAACUCUUAGACACCCCUGGCCUCCACCAUUGAUUUCGAGAUAUGUCUAUCGUUAAGUAUGCUGAACAUCAGAAAUUUACUGAAUACGUAUCCCACGAAUAGAUAAUCACAGUCUCAGAUUCAGCGUCACACAAAAUAUUAUGUAGAUUUCCGAACGAGCCUUUUUUAAGUAGAUUAUCAACCGUUGAUAAAUACUUCCUAAUAACUAGCCAAAUAAAAACUCUAUAUAUAUAUAAAAUUGAGCGUAAUAUAAAAAAUAGAGCUUAAUAUACAAGCUCCAAUUAAUAAUCUUUAAAUACAAAAAAUUUAAACAAAUAAACGAAUUUGAUCUUCGAUCGUCUUUCUAUUUACAUCUUCUUUUAUAUUCUUUUAUGAACAAUUCCCUCACAAGCCAUAGAUGCAAGCAUGCAUCAAGUGCGAAAGCACGCGACGAAGCGCUGAAGGUGGCUGCGCUGGCAUCGCCGAUUCGUACGCCGAUGCUCUUCCCUGGCGGCAGCGUCGCGGUCGAUGACACUUUCGAUACACCGAAAGUAGUCGACGCGACACGGAAUAACGAUUGCGCCCGUCUGGUGGAACCCGAACUCCGCCUCGGCCGCGUCGAGCAUGGCCGCGAAGAGCGGGUGCUCAAGGUGCCCCACCGGCACCACGAACCUCUGCCGCCUCUCCCCCUCGGCCCCGACCCUCACCGCGACGUGUCCCUUCGGCGGCAGCGGCGAUUUCUUUGAGGACCAGGGCCAGUGAAGGUGCAAGUUCUUCCAUGAAUGGCGUUGCUGCAGCCUCUCUUUGCUGAUGCUGUCCAUGCCAAAAAACAUGAAAACCAAGAGCGCAAAUUAAAGAAGCUACAAAUCAAGAGGGAGCUUUUGAGUGAAAGAGAGUUGCAAAAAGGAUCUGGUAUUAGCUGGGAGAGGGGGUGUAUAUAUAUAUAAGAAAUGAUAAUAAUAAUAAUAAUAAAGCUAGUUAGAGUCUAGUUUGAAUUGGAGUCGGCGUUGAAGAUGAUUUUGCUUGGUCAAAUUAAUAAUUAAGUACGACACGUUUUCUUUUUUUUCUUUUUUUUCUUUUUUUGGCCCUUUGUGAAUUAAUUAUUAUUAAUUAAUUUGAUCCAUAUAUAUAAUUGGUCUACGUACGGAGCUAGUUUUAUUAACCGUUAAUUAACUUUGCUAUUUUUGUUGCGCUCUCCGCUUUGAAACAAAUCUAAAUAGAAUUAAAUAACAAAAAUUCGGUGAAACUUAUUUUAAAAUAAUAAAAUUUAUUUACAUUUCCUUUUAUUAAUUGUUCAACAACUGAUUAAAAAUAACUUUUACUGUGCUUACUUUUUUUAAUUUUUCUAAAACUAUAGUUUUAUUUUGUCAGGAGGAGAGAUCAUGCAUGAGAGAGGGAUAAGGAGAGGGAUAAGAAGUUCGGUCAUGCAAAAAAAUGUGAAAUAAUUAAUUUAUUUCAAAAAAUUUAAGUCAUGUUCAGAAUUUUGCUAAUAUCUAGACUCGAGAUUUUUUAAUAAGACCUAAGUUAUAGAUUUAAAUUAAAUAAAAAAAUUAAAUAAAACUAGGAGUGUGAUAUAUAAAAUCUACACUUAGAAUUCCGAACGCAAAAAUUAAUUAAUAAUAAGCUCUAAAUUAAAGUAGACAAUUUUUUAUAAACAAUCAUGCUCAUAAUAAUGGGCUGACCAUAUCUCUCGAGAGUCCAACCCACAGACUGCCCGAAGUAGCACGUGGUAUUUAACUAUAUAAACUAAUAUAUUAAAAUAGUUAAAAUAAUUUUUUAAUAAAUAGAAAUAUUUGAAUAAUCUUUUGGUAAAUAGAGAUAAUGCUAGUGUAGAAACUCGCGCGAUGCAGCGGGUAAAUAAUAGAAGCAAAAUUUUAAAAUUUUAAUAAAAUUUAUAUUUACAGUUUAUUGAUGUAUAGAAAGCUAUACCAUGUUAAGUACAGUCAAUUUGCUUGACCAAAUUCAACUGUUAAAAAAAAAUUAUAGUUAGAAGUUUAUAUAAAUUUUUUAAAAUCAUCAAAAUACAGUAAGAGACAUACAAUUUUAUCAUAUUAUAUGCCUCUUGAACAUUCCGUUGUGAAAAAUUAAAAAGAGAUAGCUCCAAUGCAGCUGAAUCAACCCAACAGGCACUUAUAUGGGCUGCGACUGGAUUUUGCGGGACGAUACUUUUCAAAGAAGACAACGUUCUUUGCAUAUUCUUUUUCUUCAUCAUCAUCAUCCUCAUCAUUCUUAUUAAGACAAUGAGAGAGAGAGCUAGAUGAGUGUAGGGAGGGAGAUUAGAUAAUAUUUUUUUUUGCAUGAAAAAUAACAUACCAUGCAAAAAGAGAGGGGGCCGGGGGGAUUAAUAGAGGUGGGGAGUGGAUUGGAGUUACAAAACCCACUCAUUGAUGAAAUAUGAUGUAUAUAAUUAAAUGGUGCAUUUUGGAUUAAUUAAUUCUUGUGAUUUCAAAGGAAUGAGAGGUUUGAGGAAGAAGAAAAAAAAAAAAACAUAUAAAUUACAAGAAAACAUAUUAUUGGUGGCAAAAAUAAUGUGGCGAUAAAUUUUGUCGCCACUAUAUAGUUACUUUUUGUGGCGAUAAAAAAAAUUGCCACCGAUUAGUUAACUAAAAGUGGCAAUGCUACUUUCGCCACUAAAUGAUUAUUUUAUCGCCACUAUUUAGUUAUUUACGGUAGCGACAAAAAGAAUGGCCAUCGAUUAACUAACUUAAAGUGGCGACACUACUUUCGCCACUAAAUAANUAAAUAAUUAUUUUAUCGCCACUAUUUAGUUAUUUACGGUGGCGACAAAAAGAAUGGCCAUCGAUUAACUAACUUAAAGUGGCGAUACUACUUUCGCCACUAAAUAAUUAUUUUAUUGCCACUAAAUCGGUAUUUAUGAUGGCGAUAAAAAAUAUUGCCACUAAUUAAUUAACUUAAAGUGGCAAUAUUACUUUCGCCACUAAAUGAUUAUUUUAUCGCCAUUAUUUGGUUACCUAUAGUGGCAAAAAAAUUUUUUGCCACCAAUUAAUUAACUUUAAGUGGCGAUAAAAAAAUUUGCCAUCAAUUAAUUAACUUUAAGUGGCAAUAUUACUUUCGCCACUAAAUGAUUAUUUUAUCUUCAUUAUUUGGUUACCUAUAGUGGCGAUAAAAAAUUUUUGCCACCAAUUAAUUAUCUUUAAGUGGCAAUACUACUUUCGCCACUAAAUGAUUAUUUUAUCGCCAUUAUUUGGUUACCUAUAGUGGCGAUAAAAAAUUUUGCCACCAAUUAAUUAACUUUAAGUGGCAAUACUACUUUCGCCACUAAAUGAUUAUUUUAUCACCAUUAUUUGGUUAUCUAUAGUGGCGAUAAAAAAAAUUUUGUCACCAAUUAAAUAACUUUAAGUGGCGAUAAAAAAUUUUUGCCACCAAUUAACUAACUUUAAGUGGCAAUACUACUUUCGCCACCAAAUGAUUAUUUUAUCGCCAUUAUUUGGUUACCUAUAGUGGCGAUAAAAAAAAUUUUAAGUAGCGAUAGAAAAAUUUUGCCACCAAUUAAUUAACUUUAAGUGGCAAUACUAUUUUCGCCACUAAAUGAAUAAUUUUUUACCACUAUUUGGUUAGCGAUAGUGAUGAUAAAAAAUUGGUGCAUAUUAAUAAUAAAAUUAAAUAAAAAUAAAAUAUUUAAAACGUUUAUAUCAAAAUAAUGUAUAGUGAAUGUGAAAAAACUGUAGUUGUUAAAAAUUGAGGGUGAGAAUGUACAGAGACACAUUCAACUUCAGAUCAUUUUGAAAUUACUUUAUGAAUUUUAAUUUUAUUUUGAUUCACAUCUCUGAACUUUUUUUAAUUAUUUUAUUCUAGUUAAUUUAGUUAAAUUUUUAAAUUCAAGAGCUUUAUUAAUUAGUGUUUACCUAUUAAUUAUUUUCAUUUAUUUUUUAAAAUUUAAUUAAAUUUAACUUUAAUUAAUUAAUUAAUUAAUUAAUUACAAAUUAUUAAUUAAAUUAAAUUUUAAAUUUUAAAUUUUAAAAAUUAAUUUAUUAAAUUUAAAAAUUAAAUUAAAUUAUUUAAAAUUUAAUUAAAAUGACUAAAUUUUAAUCAAAUUUAGUAUCCAAACAAAAAUUAUAUGGUGUAUAAAAUAAUUAUGCGGGCCGGUCCUCGUUUCUCUAUCUCUAACGUGAAUACGAGAUAUGGUUCUCUGGACCCCGUUCGCCACGUCACUCACCAGGUGGUAGUGAGUAGUGGCUAGUGAGAUGAUGCAACUAAUUUUUAUUGGAGGGUGGUCAAAAGUAACACUAAUAUUUUCUACAAUAGAAAAUGUAUAAAUUUUUGUCUCACACACUGCCACGCUUCCUUUUUUAGAGCUUUCAAAAUUUUUAAGUUUAUUUUAGAGAUUUAAUAUAUGAUUAAAAUAAAAUUUUAAAUUCAUUUAAUUAGAGCCUCAAACGCUCACACUCUCCCUUUACCUAAACCUCACACUCUCCCCACGCUUACCCCCUUCUCCUCGGCGAGCUCCUCGCCGGCGAGGCCCCUUCUCCUCGGCGAGCUCCUCACCGGUGAGUCCUCGAUGGCGAGCUCAUAGGCAACGAGCAACUCCCCGCCAAUCCCUUUUACGACGAGCCCUUUAGCACGGAUCUCCUCGCCGUUGAUCUCCUCUUUGUCGUUCUCCUUGCGGGUGAGUCCUUCGCCGCAGAUCUCCUCGCCGCCAAGAUUCUCAUUGCCGAUCUCCUCUCUGACGAGCUCUCCACGGUCCCGAUUUCUAAUCGAAGAAAAAUCUGUAAAAAAAAAGGUCAGAAAAGCUAAAUUUGGUUGUGAAUUUUGAUUUCUUUUUAAAUUUGGUUGUGUAUAUAGUGCGAGAUGGUGAAUUUUGAUGUUUGUUCUUGUAGGUUCUUUUUGUUUGUUUAAUUGUUCUGUUUCUAUUAACUGUUUCUAUUAAAAAGCUCAAUGAUGCUAAGAAUCUGCUUUUCAUGAGCUCACUGGUCCAUGAUAUAGUCUUAUUUGCAUGCUUAUCUGAAUAGUUUGUUGCAUUCACUAUGAGCUCUGGUCUCUCAAAUUGUUCUUGUGAUUUCUCGGAAAUUGUAGUUUGAACUAUGUUUAAUUAAUAAUCAGCAGGAAAGGCAAAAUAUCAGAAACUAAAACCAACUCACCCUUGAGUAUCACUAGCUGCAGUAAUUAGAUUAACAUACACUGAUUGUGCAUUUGUAUAGCUUUCAUCAGCUGGACCUAACAGGUAGGUUGUUCAUAGGCCAUUUGAAAAGCUCAAUAGUUGCAAAUGAUUUCCGCUAGUCGAUAACCUCUAUCCAAAGACCUUACUUGCGAAAACCAAGUAAUUUAGUUUGAGUUUCAUACUCCCGAUUGAGGACAAUUUUACAUUGAGGCAGAAUAUCAAACUAGAGUUUUCGGCUAUCAAAUAAGGUUUAUUUUAUUUUGCUUGUCACCUAAAUUAGCUCCCAUCACUUUCAAAGAAAUCAAGGUACAAAGUACGUCUAUUGUGGACAUAUUUUCUUCGCUUUGUCAGUAUAAACCUCAAAAAUGAUGUUUUGGUAACUGAUGUUUUGGUCUGAUGUUUUGUAACUGAUGUUUUGGUCUGUUUAGUGUUAUACCUUAGUAUGGUUGAAACAGAAUAAGACCAUAUCUCUUUUCUUUUUUUCUCCUUCUUUGUUUCAUCUGAGUGAAUAUAAUUGCUAAUUAUGGUUGUAUCCUGUUUCAUUUCAGCAAAAAUAUCAUCUACUGCUGCUAAAUUUUGCUUUGUAUGAAGAGAAGCACAAGGUACGUUACUUUACGUAUGAAUAGGAGAAUUUCUGUAUACUUUAAUUUUUUUUUUUUAUUUUAUCUGAGAACAGGCCAUGUCUUAUAAUGUGAGCAUCUUGAAUUUGUAUACCAUGGGUUGAAUGGUGGUGAUUAUUAUAUCAUGCAGCAAAAGGCUAAUAAUGCUAAUAAUGCUAGUUUAUCUGGAUAACAAUGCGAAAUGGAGAGAGCUUAAAAUCUUCUGUUGUUGUAGAUUGUUUAAUUUAUAUAAUUUAUUAUUUUUUUUCUUUUGUUUGUUGCAGGAAAUGAAUUGCUGUUGAAAUAGGAGCUGAAACAUUUUUUUUAUCGUUUUUAAGUAUUUUCUAUUUUCAAAGUUGAGAGAGGCAGGAAUGAUGUUGAACUGUAUAUCGAAUAUUAUUACUCUAUUGCUUUUAAAUUGAUUUUGCUAUUAUUUUAUUUUUAAGAUGUUGUGGAUCAGAAGACAAUUAGCCUUUUAAAUUGUUGUUAAAAGAAUAAUUUUGUUUUCUUUAAUAUUUUGUUUGUUAUUUUGUAUAUGUUCUAUUUAUAAAAUAUAAGCUGUAUAUUUUUAUAUUUAGUUUAUUAUUUUUUUAUUAUUGGUGGCCAUUUAUUGCACAGUUGAUGGCGACAAAAAGUUGCCUUUUUAUUUUUAACUAAGGUGGCGACUGUAAUGGUUGCCGCUUAAUGAAAGGUGGCGAUUAAGAAGGGCCACUAAAACGUUAUAUUUGAUGGCGAAAAUGUAUUACCACCUUAUCUCCAUGAAAGGUGGCGACUAAGAAGCGCCACUAAAACGUUAUAUUUGAUGGCAACAAAAUAUCGCCACGCUAUCUUUAAUAAGGUGGCGAUUAAUAGUUGCCACUAAAAGCUAUAUUUGGUGGCGAUAAAAUGUCGCCAUGUUACCUAUAAUAAAGUGGCAACUAACAAAGGUCACUAAAAGUCAUAUUUAGUGGCGAUAAAAGAUCGCCACGCUAUUUUAAAAAAGGUGGCGAUUUUUCACGCUUCGCCACAAUUUCAUUUAGCGGCAACACUUUCAGUGGUAGCUUGUGGCGACUUUAAAAAUCGCCACCUUUUAAAAAUGUGGCAACUUUUUAUAUAUAUGGUGGCGACAUUAGUCGCCACCACUAUAUAAUAUUCUUGUAGUGAGAGUACAUUGAUUAGAUGUUAUCGAAUAGAAAUGAGGGGAGGGGAAAAGUCAAGGUCAUUGAAUUGGAGGUGAGAUUGAAAGAAAACUUGCCGAGGAAGGGAAGAGAAAAGCCAAGGUCAUUGAAUAGAAUGUGAGGUUGAAAGAAAACUUGCUACGUGACAAAAAUAUUGGGAAUUUAUAUAUGUUAUUAGAUGUUAGAUUAUGUUAUUGGACAUAGUACUUUUUUUAGGGUUAAUUGCACUGUUAUUAGAUGUUCUCGAGAUCCGGCGGCUCGGAUUGAUCGGGAGCGUCGGUGCGGUUUCGCUUCGUCUCCUUGAAGAUGGCCAUUGAUGGUUUCUUGAAGCUUCGAUCGGCCGGGAGCUCUUCCUGAUGAUCAAGAAGCUGCUGCGCGCGUACGUGAUCGGCGAGAGAGAGAGAGAGAGAGAGAGAGAGAGAGAGAGAGAGAGUUGUAAGUGGUUACGUCGCGUAGCAUAAAGUGUAUAAGACAUGCAUAUAGAUACGUACAUACGAAGCGCAAUUCCUAAUUCUACUCGAAUCAUGAUUAAUGUUAACGUUGAUGAAUAUUCUUACCGUUAACGAUCGUGAUAUAUAACUCGUGUUGGUAACUUCGAGUUGAAGGCGAUCGUGCGUUCACCAAAUACGCCGGGGAUCGAUGCUGAGAUUUGAGACUUCAGAGCCGUUGGAUCAGGUUCAUAAUGCAUUGUUUUAAAAAAAAAAACAAAAAACGAAAAAAAUCGCUGAGACAAGGAAAUUCAGUCGAGUUUAUCUUUUUAUUUUUUUUAUAUAUACGCAUAUUUUAUGACCACAUCUAGAAUUUGAUUAUUAAUGCUCAAUAGAUAUAAGUUACAGAACUUACAUAAUUAAAAAUUUACAAUCAAGAUAUUAAUUAAUUUCUAAAAUCAAUAGUAGAAAAAAUUCUAUCUAUUUAUUCAUAAAAAAUAAGUGUUUAAAAUUUGUGUGCGCUACAAUAUUUCUAAGGUAGUACGCUUCAUUGAUCCUACUUAAUAAAAGUUACUAUUAAAAGGGCCGACCAAUUUAAACAUUAAAAAAACUUAAGGAUAUAAUUGUAACAAAUUUAAACUUAUUUAAAAUUUAUCCCGUAACAAAUCAAAAUCACACCAAUUUAUUUAUUUAUUUUUUAUAAAACAAGAUAACUGCUAAAAUCGCACAUAAUCAUUCCUUACAAUUCAAAGAACAAAUCGAACUGUUAACUAAUUUCACACACAAUCAGAAUCGUCGAUCUCCUUCAAUUCCAGCCUCUCACCUAACUUGUUGCAAGUAUAAAUGUCACAAUUGUUUUAAUCGGCAUGACAAAUAAUAGAUUCGAAAAAAUAAUUAAUAUAAAAAAAAAAAAAGAUAGAGCACGCCGAAAUUUAGUGAAGACGAAGCAAAAUUUUUUUAUUAAUAUCAAAGGUGGAGUGCAAAGAUUAAAUUAAUCUCUCACAAAAUCCAAAUUUUCAAACACCCAAUUUUGCAUGUGGUACUAGACUCCGAAAUAGCUUGGCUCCCUCACCUGUACGGACACAUUGAACCAACACAACAGAGCACUCAGGGACGAAGCUAGGAUUCAAUCUUGAGAGGGACCAAAAUAUAUUUAAAUAAAAACUUUAGUAAUAAAUAAGAAACAAAAUUUUUCCUAAUUAAAAUUUUUUUAUUAAAAAAUUAUUAAUUAAAUAAAUAAUGUAAAAGUAUGAACUAUAUUUUUUUUAUUUUCAGAUGUUUAACUUCUAAUUAUUUUAUUUAUAUUAUUAUAUUAAAAUAACUUAGAAAUUUUACUAAAUUUAACAUUAAUUUUUUAGUUUUUUAAAUAAAAUUAACAUAGCUAUUAAAUUUAGUACAAUUCUUGAUUUAGUCAAAUAAAAGAGCUUAUCUAAAAUAAAUAAAAGUUUUAAAAAAAUUAUUAAAUAAAAAUUUUAGAGUAGAGAAAUAUAUUACAAAAGACUAUAAGUAAGAAACUUUUAAUAUAUUUUUAUUCAUAAAAAGAGCAUAUCGAUUAGAAAAAAGAGAAAGAGAGUUAUGUUGGCACCAUACUAUUAAGUAAAUAUUAAAAAACUAGAAGAGGCAAAGCUACCUAUGGUCCAUCAAAAAAAAAUUUUUUGAAGAACCAUUAAGCAAAUGUUGAAAAGUUGAAGGGGGCCAUGGUCACCUUUGGCCUCCACAUAGCUUUGUCCCUGAGAGCACUGCUUGGUGAUGUUGCUGCGUCCGUACGACGACCAACCAAAAAAAAAGAAAAAGAAAAAAGUUAGUUAGCUCUAUGUAAUUGGCGCCACUCUCCUCUCUAUCCGUUUACUUAAUUAUUUAGCGUGGGGUCUAAUUAGCGAUGCGGCUUCCUUAACACGACCGUGGUAUAUAUGUAUAUAUAAUGUAAAGCUCCAAAUUAGAGUCUAAUUCUAAUUAUAAUUUAGAUAAACUCCUAUUUAUACUCUCUGUAGGUCAAGAAAAAUUUAAAUUGUAUCUUAUCCUAAUUAGAUUAGAAUUUUAUUUUAAUUUAUAUAACUAUAAAUUUACAUCAAAAUUAUAACAACAAUUGUCCGUAAAAAAGUUCGAAAAAAUUUUAUUAAAAGCCUCUAAUGGCGAAGAAGCUGAAGGAGAAUCAGUUGUUGGAUGUUCCGCGUCCGUCUAGAAGGUAAAGAAGUUUGCAGCAGCCCUGCCGGUGACCGCGUGCAACAAAGACCCCGUCUGCACCCCUGCGAAAGUGGGUUUCGAACAGCGACGCGAGCGGCCACCGCCGCUGCUUCUUGCGCCUGUGUAGUAUCCUGAUGCAGCACCGACCGUCCCAUGAGCAAGUGGCAAAGGAUUUGAUGGUUGGUAUCCGAGACCCAAGUUCGAAUCCUAAUUGAUUCACAUUUCUAACUAAGUUUAUUUCUAAAUGAAAUAAACGAAGCGGGUAGCGUGCUACCUAUCUCUCAAAAAAAUAUCCUGAUGUAGCACGGCCGCAUCUUCGCCCUCACGAGCCGAAACUGGUUCCGAUCGAUUAUGUUACAGAGGCUGCAAUGUUGUUGUUGUCCGUGAUUUUGAUUCACAAAUUCAAUUGAAAAUGAAAGAAUUGAGUGUAGGCUGUUUACGUACGUCCCUAUCUAUAUAAGCUUUAAAAUAGAUUUUGUAAAUUACAAUAGAGACUCUUGAACGGGGGAGACUAGUUUGAUUACAAUAUACAAUGGGUUGUAGAGUCAACAGUUAUAUAUAUAUAUAUAUAUAUAUAUAUAUAUAUAUAUAUAUAUAUAUAUAUAUAUAUAUAGAGAGAGAGAGAGAGAGAGAGAGUUGGACUGGGCUACUAUUUGUAGCAAAAUUUUAUUGUUGCUGCCAAUUUUUUAGCCUUUGGAUCAACUCUUUUCAUUAUUUCUAACCAUUGGAUUAAAUACUAUAAUCCAGUGAGGACCACUCAACCCUAGGGGGACCACUCAACUCUAACCGACUAAUAUCAUCCUGACCCUACAAUUUUUCAUCCAAGGAUUAAAAACUUGAUAGCAAAAAGAGUGUUUUACUAUUAAUAGUAUUCCAGCCUAAUUUUAUAUAUAUAUAUAUAUAUUUGACAAAAAAAAAAGCGCACUACCCGCUUCAUUAUUAUAAAAAAUUAAUUCAGCUUCAAAAAUUAAGACAACUCAUCCUCGAAUAAAAAAAUAAAAAUAAAAAUAAAAAAUGAUAAAGAAACAAACCUUAGGAAACUAAAAUAAAAUAAAUAAAUAAAAUUAAAACAAAGUGAAACUAAAAAAGUUCACUUAAUUAGAUCUAGCUAGUUGCAGAACUUAGUUCACUUCUUUCUAAGUCUCAAGCUUGUCUAAUCACAAUUAGAGAAUCUGAAGAUUGGUUUUUAAAAAUCUCGUUAUUUCUUUGCUGUCAAAUCAUCUACCGACAGAUUGUAUUUUUGAUCUGUUCUUUCGCUAAUACCCUUUGUUUGUGAUUCUCAGACAAAAAGUACUAGACAUUCCUGGCUCCACCAUUGGUUCCGAAAUAUGUCUAUCGUAAAGUAGGCUAAAUAUCAGAAAUUUACUGAAUACAUAUCCUACGAAUACAUAAUCACAGUCUCAGCUUCAUUGUCACACAAAAUAAACUGUAGAUUUCCGAACUAGUCUUUUUUAAGUAGAUUAUCAAUCGUUGAUAGUUACUUCUUAAUAACUAGCCAAAUUAAUAAAAACUCUAACAUAAAAUAGAGCGUAAUAUAAAAAACAGAGCUCAAUAUACAAGCUUCAAUAAUCUUUAAAAACAAAAAUUUAAACAAAUAAAUGAAUUUGAUCUUCGAUCGUCUUUCUAUUUACAUCUUCUUUUAUAUUCUUUUAUGAACAAUUCCCUCACAAGCCCUGCAUGCAUGCAUGCAUGCAUGCAUGCAUCAAGUGCGAAAGCACGCAACGAAGCGCCGAAGGUGGCUGCGCUGGCACCGCUGAUUCGUACGCUGGUGCUCUUCCCUGGCGGCAGCGUCGCGGUCGAUGACGCUUUCGAUACACCGAAAGUAGUCGACGCGGCACGGAAUAACGAUCGCGCCCGUCUGGUGGAACCCGAACUCCGCCUCGGCCGCAUCGAGCAUGGUCGCAAAGAGCGGGUGCUCAAGGUGCCCCACCGGCACCACGAACCUCCGCCGCCUCUCCCCCUCGGCCCCGACCCUCACCGCGACGUGUCCCUUCGGCGGCAGAGGCGAUUUCUUUGAGGACCAGGGCCAGUGAAGGUGCAAGUUCUUCCAUGAAUGGCGUUGCUGCAGCCUCUCUUUGCUGAUGCUGUCCAUGCCAGGAAACAUGAAAACCAAGCGCGCAAAUUAAAGAAGCUACAAAUCAAGAGGGAGCUUUUGAGUGAAAGAGCGUUGCAAAAAGGAUCCGGUAUUAGCUGGGAGAGGGGGUGUGUAUAUAUAUAAGAAAUAAUAAUAAUAUAAUAAUAAGAAAGCUAGUUAGAGUCUAGUUUAAAUUGGAGUCCGCGUUGAAGAUGAUUUUGCUUGGUCAAAUUAAGUAGGACACGUUUUUAUUUUUUUCGUUUGCGUAUUAAUUAUUAUUAAUUAAUUUGAUACAUAUAUAAUUGGUCUACGUACGGAGCUAGUACUAUUAACCGUUAGUCAACUUUGCGAUUUUUGUUGCGCUCUCCGCGCACUUUGAAACAAAUCUAAAUAGAAUUAAAUAACAAAAAUUCAGUAAAACUUAUUUUAAAAAUAAUAAAAUUUAUUUGCAUUUUAUUUUAUUUAUUGUUCAACAAUUUAUUAAAAAUCACUUUUACGUACUGUGCUUACUUUUUCUAAUUUUUCUGAAACUAUAGUUUUAUUUCGUUAGGAGGAGAGAUCAUAAGAGGGGCUGGAUAAAAUAUUCUGUCCUACAAAAUAAUAAGAAAUAAUUAUUUUGUCUCGAAAAAAUUAAAUUAUGUUCAAAAAUUUUGCUAACAUUUGGAGUCGAUCGAGGCAUUUUUAAUAGUUUAAGAUGUAGAUUUGAAUUAAAUAAAAACAUUAAAUAAAAGUAGGAGUGUGAUAGGAUUCGAACUUAGAAGUGGAAACUCGGAAUCUCUUAUUCUGAUAAUAUAUUAGUCAAAAAAUUAAUUAAUAAUAAGCCCUAAAUUAAAGUAGACAAUUUUUUAUAAACAAUCACGCUAAUAUAAUUAUGGGCUGACCAUAUAAUUCUCUCCUGGAGUCCAACCCACCUACCGCCCAUAAGUAGUAGGGCUGGCAAACGAGCGAGCCGGCUCGCGUUCGACUCGUGUUCAGCUCGAUAUUCGGCUGGCUCGAGCUCGACUCGAAAUUAAAUGAGCCGAGCUUGAACAAAAUAAAAGGCUCGAAAUUCAUUUCAAGCCGAGCUUGAGUAUUACUCGGCUCGUUCGAAUUAGGCUCGAAAAAGCUCGAAUAUAUAUAUAAAUAUAUAUAUAUAUAUAUAUAGGGUUUAGGGUUUAGGUAUUUAUAAAUAUAAAAUAUUUAUAAAUAUAAUGUAUUUUAAUUAUAUAUAGGCUUUAAUUUAAUUUGGGCCAUUAUUGUUGGCCCAUAAAAUAAACCCAACAAGUACAACCGUGCAAUUGAGCCCAACUCUAAAUUUACAUAACACACUCUCUCUUUCAGACUUUCACUGUUGCACAUAAUCCUAAAACAUGAUAACAUUCAAAUUCCCAAAUCCCUAAUUUUUUUCUCCCCCCCCCUCUCUCUCUCUCUCUCUUUCUCUCUCUCUCUCUCUCUCUCAGACCCUCACCCAGUCAGGCAGUCACCCUUGCUCACAUUUCUUGCAAUUAUUUUGUAUUUUGAACUAUUGGACAUGUUGCAUCAAAUUAUAAGUAAUGUUCUAUAAAAAUUAAACUAUUGAUUAUAUAAUGUCGAGAAUUUCAAUCGGCUCGUUUAGAGCUCGAGCUCGGCUCGACUCGAAAUUAGGCUCGCUUGAGCUCGGCUCGAAUUAAUUUCAAGCCGAGCUUGAGCCUAGAUUUAGGUUCGAAAUUAAUUUCAAGCCGAAUUUGAGCUGGCAUAAGCUCGCUCGAGCUCGGCUCGUUUCCACCCCUAAGUAGCACGUGGUAUGUAACUAUAUAAACUAAUAUAUUAAAAUUAAAGGUGUCCGUGGACCGGAUCGGAUUUAGAUAGUUGAUGUACUAUACCCGUACCCUAAAUAGAAAUGGAUACGAAAAAAAAAACUAUAUUCUACCCAUUUAACUUCGGAUCGGGUCCGAUUCUAGGUACUUAAGUUAAUAAUAUACCUAUCGAGUCUAUUUGAGCGGGUCUGGAUAGUGACUACCCGUAUACUGCCCGCUUAAAACCGGAUAUGGAUCGGGUACGGAUUGGGUCUAGAUCGGGUAUAGAUACCCGUAUGCAUAUAUUUUUUAUAAAUUUUAUUAAGCAGUUUAUGGACAAAUUAUAAACCUAUCACUAUAAAAAAUCCGCAUUUUAAUUACAUUAAUUGCAGCCAGUCUAAUAAAAUUCGUUCGAAAGGAAGAUUCAAACUGUGGCAGCUAGAAUUAAACAAAAAGAGUAAAAUAAAAAUAAAAAAAUGAGUAAACAAAGAGACUAGAGUUUUCACUAGAAUGAAAAUAGAUCCUUCAUUUACAAGUCCUAUUGAAAUUGAUCUCUCAACUUCACAUUUUUUUAUUUACUAUUGAGUACUUCACCGGGCUCAGUUUCGAGUCCAGUUUCGGGUCCGGAUUUAAAAACUCUUCCAGACCCUACCCAUUAGAAGUUCGGGUUUGGAUCGAGUCCAAGUCGGGUAUGGGUAUAAAGUAUCCGGACCCGUACCCAGAACUUUAAUGGAUAAAUUUUUUUAUCCGUAUACUAUCCAUUUAUUAUCGGAUUCGGUUCGGGUCCGGGUAGAGUCCGGAUAGAGUCCGGAUCGGGUAUGAUAUAUCGGAUAUUUUGGACAGCUUUAAUUAAAAUAGUUAAAUUAUUCUUUUAAUAAAUAGAGAUAUAUAUUUGAAUAGUCUUUUGAUAAAUAGAGAUUAUAUGCUAUAGAUUAUGUUAUUGGACAUAGAAUUUCUUUAGGGUUAAUUCCAUUGCCAGCGCUCAAACUUUUUAUGGAAAUUACUUAAUUUGGUUCACUAUUUGUUAAUGUGAGCUUAUAAUUCCAAACUUCUUGAUGUAUAAUAUAUUAAAUUUGCUUGUUUUGUCAUCUGAUAGAAUGCGGUUUCGUUUUGUCAAAUAACAAACUUUAUAUCUUAAUUUGAUGCACACGUGUGUACUAAAAUUAUUUACUCAGUAUUAAUUUGGUUACUUUUAUAUUAAUAAUCAUGGCAAAAAAUGGCAUAACACAUCAAUUUUAUUAAUAAAACACAGUUCUCUAAUAGCUAAAAUUUAGAGAUAAUUUUUUCUUUCACAAUAUUUUAAAAUAGUGUCAAAUUUUUUCUUUCACAAUGUUUAAAAUAGUGUCAAAUAUAUAAGGCCAACUAAAAAAUCUCUACUGCAGACAUUAUAUAAUGAGCUGUGUACUCUAAGUUAACGGCAAACUUUAACUAAAUGUUCUCAUACAUUUAUAUGUAAAAUAGUCAGAAUAGUUAUAAAAGAGUAAAAUAUUUAAUAUUCAUCUAUUAGUAGACUUAGAUCUAAUAUGCUUAAGCUUUUAGUCACAUCCCUCAUGUAGGGUUGGGCAGAAGUUUAUAAUAACAUGCGUGGACUACAUAGCAGUAAAUUUAUCAUCUCCCGUGAAAUUUAUUUUUACGUUCAUUUUCUUUAGUCAUAACAGAUUAUCUUAUGGAGUUCAUAGAAAAUUCAGAUUCAAAAAAUUAUUGAGAAGGUUAAAUGCCCAUCAUAGUGACAUGUAACUCCUAUAUAUAUUAGCAUUUCUUUAAUUUUGCAUUUAAGAACAAUAAGAAGAUAAAAUAAAUGUAAUUGCUUGUAAAAGUAGUGGGAAAAAAUAGUAAUAAUAGAUCGGAAGUUGCAUAAUAUAUAUAGAAAUAUAACAAGAGAUCUAGUUAUCUCAUUUGAGAACCAAUACAUUUCUAAAAAGGGAUGUCUGAAAAGAAUAUCUGUGAAUACUUUAGGAAGCCUUGGAGUGGGGGGCCUACUGGCUCUAAUAAAACCAUCAAAAUUACACAUAGUUUACUGAUUUCUUCAGAAGUCCUCAUGCAAAACCAGGCAAAUAUAAAAGAGCUUAGAAAAUAAGUAAAUAUAUCAUCGAUCACAUCCAAUUAUACACCAAGAGAUUAAUUAACUGAAGACAUACAGGAACUAUAAUUCGGGAUCUACCGAUCUAAUCAUUUAAUUGCAUUAUUAUAUUAUUAGUUACACCAGGGUAUACAUUACAUCAGGCUCCACGUACCAUGAAAUUAAUGAAUCUAAAUUGAAUAACUAAUCAGAGAAACCACAAUCAAACCUAGCUAGCUCCGUUAAUAACCCCCCCAGUUACAUUAAUUGAACCCAGGAUUAUACUUCAUAAAAAAUUAAGGGGCCAACUAAUUAGUAUUACUGUAAACAGAAAUAAAGAACCAUCGUGCAGAUCGAGUACGCAGAGUAAUUACGGAACGGAACGAUCGAUCAGGCUCACGAAUCUUGCAGCAACAGUAAUGCUUCCGCGGCCAGCAGUUCAUCCGCAUCGAACUUAUCAUCAUCGCCGUCUUCGCGUACUUCGUCGCCCUUCUUGCGGCUCAGCAGGGCCAUGCCGAGGCCGCCGCAGCACCGGAACGCCCAGAUGUCGAUGCGGUCGCCCGCGCGCAACCCGUGGCGUUUCACGAAGCGGCCCCAGCUGCCGAUGAGGCGGAAGUCGCCGUUGGAGUCGAGGAAUUUGAACGUCAUGGCGUGCUCCCGCCCCAGCCGGUCGAACACCCUCACGGGGAGGCCGCGCUCGCGGUCGGCGACGAGCGCUGCCUCGUCAGACGUGAUCAAGUCCCGCAGCGACGUCGUGGCCGUCACCUGUUUGUGGGUCAGCAGCAGGCGGCUCUGCUGGCUGCUGACGUCCGACCCCGACAGCUCUUUCUGCAGUAUCCACGUCGGCUGGCUCACCCCCUCCCGCAGCAGCGCCGACAGAAUUCCGACGCACCGCGACGGCUUCGGCGCACCGCCGCUGCCUGCAGGACGAUUGUUGGGCCGCGGGCUGCGUUUCUUGGAGGUGAUGAUCGGAGAAGCCGCGGCGGUGCCGACGGCAUCAGCUGGGGGGUCUCUCCUCGGCUUCUUCCUUGCCGGUGGUUGCGCGGAGUGCCCCAGCUCAUGAUCAUGCACGUUCUCGAGAUCCGGCGGCUCGGAUCGAUCGGGAGCGUCGGCACGGCUUCGCUUCGUCUCCUUGAAGAUGGCCAUUGAUGGUUUCUUGAAGCUUCGAUUGGCCGGGAGCUCUUCCGGAUGAUCAAGAAGCUGCUGCGCGCGUACGUGAUCGGGGAGAGAGAGAGAGAGAGAGAGAGAGAGAGAGUUGUAAGUGGCUACGUCGCGUAGCAUAAAGUAUAUAAGACAUGCACAUAGAUACUCACGUAGGGCAAUUCCUAAUUAAUAUUACCGUUAAUGUAUAUUCUUACCGUUGACGAUCGUGAUAAUUCGUGUUGGUAACUUCGACUUGAAGGUGGUCGUGCGCUCGCCAACUACGCCCGGGGAUCGAUGUUGAGACUUCAGAGCCGUCGGAUCAGGGGCGUAUUAUAGAUUUUAAAAAAAGUGCCGAGAUCCCUCAAAUCAAAUUCUGAUUUUUUCUUUAUUUUUUUGAAUUACGUGAUUAUAGUCUGCAGAGUUUACGCGAUUGAGACUGCCUUUAUCCCUUUAUAUUUUAUUUAUUUAUUUAUUUAUUUAUUCAGGUAACUUUUUUUGUCUUGAGAAAGUUUGUUAGCCAAUUAUUGUUAUAUUAAAUUGGGUUUGCAACCGAAUCUAGUGGGUGCAGGGAAAUUAUAGAGAGCGUUGCCAAAUUAUUUAUCUUUCAUUAGUGAGUUUGAGUUGAGGGCAAAUCCCCUUUGUUUUGCCAAGUUAAGGGCUAAAGCUACUGCUGUUCUUUUGAAAUAUUUAAGUGUUGUUAUUGCUGUGGUUGUUGUUGUUGUUGUUAUUAUAAUUAUUAUUAGUAGUUAUUAUUAUUUCUCUUUUUGACAAUGUUACUUAUUGUCAACAUUCUCUCCCACAGUGGCUAAAAAAGAAAAAAGGAACUACUAGAGACAAAUUAAGAAACUAAGAAUCCAUUUCGCCCAGCAUUAACAACCCGGCAUUUGGCCUACUUUGUUGGCCGAGUCGUGCAACCGGUCAAUGGGGUUUAAUACGUUACCACAAAAACUUCAAAUUAAAGCUUUUUGAAAUAGCAAGAGUUGGGCAUGCCGGAUCCCUCCCGAUGCAUCUCAGGCAAAUGAGGCCCUGACAUGGCGUCUCGAGCGACAAGAUCCCAGUAGUACAACAAACCUUCACAUAGUUCCAAAGAGUCCAUAAUACAGUAGUGUAUGUAUACAUGUGUGUUAUGUAUAAAACAUAAAUCCUGCAUGUCCCAACCUUCACAACCACAUAUCGAUACGAAUUUGGUUAAAAAAAUAGUUUUCCAGCUAAAAAAAGUCAUGGAGAAUGUCUUAUGGACAUUUUUGCUUCUCAAAACACCACCAAAUAAUAUAGUAGCAAUCACAAAAUACCCAUAAGAGCCUCUUCAAUAUAAAGAGCUAAAUAAGCAAUAUGGAAAAGGACAAGGAACCCAUGGUAGGAGUCUAUCAAAUAGAGAGAUUCUUUUUGAAGGCAACGCAAUCCAAAAUCUAACAAAGAUGGUCUUCUCUCCCCCCAACCAGAAAAAAAAAGAGGAAAAAAAGAAAAGAAAAGAAAAAAAAAAUUGUUAGAAUAAUAAUCACCUAUCCGCGUGCUCUCUCUGACUUCACCUUUAAUCUUCUUUACUCCCAAAAUGAAUAAAAUGCCAAACCUGCACAAAAACAAAAAGAAAAACAGCAUCCAGUUAGAUAAACUAUACACAGAAAAGAUUCACAAAGCAUGAUAUUCUAAAAUAAAAGCAAUGUGGACAUACAAAUACUAAUACAUUAGUUCUUACAAUGGUUGAAUCCUAUUACUGCAAUAAAAAUGAAAAGAAAAACAGCAUCCAGUUAGAUAAACUAUACACAGAAAAGAUUCACAAAGCAUGAUAUUCUAAAAUAAAAGCAAUGUGGACAUACAAAUACUAAUACGUUAGUUCUUACAAUGGUUGAAUCCUAUUACUGCAAUAAAAACGAGAUUGCAAAUACAAAAAUAUGGGAAGAAAAUAAGCGAUCAAAAGGUGCAAUAACACAAAAGGAGUCUUUGUCUAGGAAGCAAAUUUUGGGGAAUCGUAACUCUAAUGAGACUAAGAUAACUAUGAAACCACAUAAAUUCCAAGAAACUUUGGGCCACAUUGCAUCUUACUGGAUUGGAAGCAUCAGCUGUCAAAGUGACACAAGAAUGUGAUGGACGGCAGCUGAAUAAUGAACGAAGAAGACAGCUUAAAAGUACGAGCAUGAUCAGUAGGCCUCAGUUUGUUAGAUAUAAUAUAAUCAUGAAGUAAUCCUGUAUAGAAAGUAUACGGAUAAAUAAUUAUGAAUUUCUUACACAGUUAAGGUAGAAUUAUCUGACUGCUUCAUAAUGCAUUCAUAUUCCAAUCAAAGAUCGGAACAAGUCUCAAAUGCUCAGUUAAAUUGAAUUGGUUUCGGAUUCAUGAAGCACCAAAAGAACAGUGAAAAGAGAUAGCUAAGAUGCAAGAUGGGCCCUGAAGAGCACAAACACUUGACUGAGCUUAGGAAUUGCAGUUGAUGAUGCUAGAAAUAGACAACUCUAACAAGAAAUAAGCUAGGAGUUGACAAAUUAUGAUGUGAUUAUAAUUUACCAUUAAUAAAAACUUAACCAUCGUAAACGUCAGUGUAGGAACUAUAGUCAGACUUAUUACUAGUUUUAGUAACACGUGUUUAAGCAUCAUAGACAAUGUUCAGAGUACUGCUCCAUUCAAGUUACUGUUACUAAUAGGUUGUUUGCAGUAUUAUCAAAAGAUUUAGAGAAUGCAAGAAGUUUUCAUCCAGCCAGAACACGUGAAACCCUGAAAAUAUGGUUAAUGAAGUCUACCUUUUUGAAAUGGAAACCAUAUUUGUGGCUCAUGAAGCAGCUUGCAAAGACUAUAUAUGAAGGGUGGCCACCUGCAUAAACAACUAUUCUUAUCAACAUAGUGAGAAAAUGUCUAAGAGUAGAACCAAUUAGCAUUAAAAUUUCUGCCAAAAACAAUGGAUGGUACAAGAGGCUGAGAUAUUCUUCUUAAUUUAGGACAAAAAGUAGGAUUAACAAACAGGGCAACCAACAUCAGAUACAAAUACAGUGGAUACGAAAUGACGUCCGGUUGCAGGAGCAUAAAAUAUUGCCAAAAGCAAAAACACUACGGAUGUCUCUAGAAAAAAAAAAGGACUAGCUAUAAAUCGAGAGGGAAACUUCCCAUGAAUACGAAAAUGUCAAUACUCUAAUACAGUACCCACAUGAGCAACCACUUAAAAUCAAGUUGUCCCUUAUCUAGAGAGGCACUUAUAUUCAACCCAAGACAUAUGUCCAACUUUUACACAGAUAUCUCAUGCUUAGCUAUCAUUUACUAAGGCAUCUCAUGCUCAGGUAUCAUCAUUUCUUUACCUAAUAUUGAACCUACUUCCAUAGUAUGUAAGACUAUCAUAUCUAAGCAUAAAAGUCGUACCCUUAGGUGAAAAAUAGUAAUAUACAAGACAGCAGUUUAAGAACCAUAACAUUGAUGGAUGGAGAAAAGCUAUUGUUGGGGCAAAUACUAUAAAAGGUACAACAGCAAAGCUCACACGUGUAGAAUUCAAUUAUUUGUACUUCUUAUAUACUUAAUAAUUAAUUACCGAGCUAUAAAUUUCAAGUCAUAUCCAUUGAGCAACUCAGCAUAAAUCUUCAAAAUCAUUGAGAUUAAUGGAUUGAGAUAACUACCUGAGGCAUCAAAGGAAGCAUAUCCUUGCUGUCAGAAUGCAUUGUCAGAUUAGAUGGCCAAUUUGUCUGUAUACAAUCACUUGCUAGGAAACAGUAGAACACUGAAGAAUACCAAAGCAAGAAAGUAAUAGCUAAUUUGUUCUGGCCGAAAAAGUUGUAGACACUUCUUAUUUGAUUCAUUCAGAGAACUUCCAUUACUUGCUGCUUAUGCUUUGGUUGUUCCGACAUCUUCACCCAAUAUAACAUCUGCUGGUCUUGGAAUGUCAUUUCCUCUAACUACUCUGUUGUAAACUAUUUUGAAAGAAUGCGAUCCGUACGGCCUACUCAGCAAAUUCACAGGCACUCUGAGAGUCUGCUUCCGACUUUUCCCCUUCACGUAAAUGCUAAAGGUCCCAUCGCCUUCAUAUCUUGUAACUUUUUUCAUGGGACGUCUUUCACCAAUUUUCGUUGUACUAUUAUUUUCUUUAGAAGUUAUCUCAGGUUUCAGUUCAUUAGUAACUACUUUUUUCAAGUCAUCUUCUCCAGAUUCUCCCUCAUUUGGUAAAUAGUUAUUAGCAACAGCAUUUCCAGUUUCCACUGUCGCAGAUACCUCUGUACCCUCAUCUUUCUCAAUUGUUUUCACAAUAUCACAGUCAAGUGAGGGUGUCAAAUCCACACUUACAACAUGAGACUGAACCAAUGGUUCCGGCAAAGAUGCAGAAAUAGGAUUUAUAAUAGGCGGUGGCACAAUAGGGAAAUCAACUGGACUACAUCCUGGCCAUAUUGAUACUGGCACGAACUCGGGUGUACUUGGAUUCAUAUUGCAUUGCCAAGAAUAGUGGUUAGGUUGAAACAUGUUAUUGUUCAUAGCAAAUGUGGUGGUUGGAACAGCUUGAGGCUGAGUGUAUGGUGGGUAGAUAAAUGGCAAGGGAUGUAAAAUGUUAGGGGGCCGAGGGGAAGGAGGGUAAGGGAGGUGGGGAGAUGUGCAGAGAGGAGGUGCGGUAGGCAUUAGAGGUGCGGGCCGAGAGUGAAGAGAAACACUCAUGGACCAAGGCCCAACUGCAGGAAUGGGACCAUUUGGAGAAAGGCUGACAUUUACAGGCACAGGGCUGAGAACAACGGGAGGAGAGGGGUUAAACGGUGCAGCAGAAGCAGACAACUUCUUAUUAGGGAUGUCUCUAGCAUCAACAAUGUUCAACUCCAGUUUUGGUUUUGGACCACUGCCUCCAGAUUCCUCAGGGCCACCAAAUUUUUCUUCAAGAUUCUCUUGAUUUUCUAUAGAGAAUGAAUUGGUACUGAUUCCAAUGCUGCUUGAUAAAGCUCCAUGUAAUGAUUCCCCUUUAGGUUUGUCAGUUGAGAGGUCAGCGUUCUCCCGAACAGUUGAUUCUAAAGAUUCAAUACUAUGUAUCACUUCUUGCCCCUCAUCACUAUGUAUCCCAGAUAAAGCUACUUCAAUAUGUAGUGAUGACAAAUCAGUUGAGCCUUCUUCGCUAGUUUUCUGGUUUUCUACUUCUACUUGCUUUGCAGCAAUUCCCACUUCCUCAACACAGUUAUCUUCUUGCUUGGUCUCAUCUAUGUUAGCUGCCACAGUCGAUUUUUCCACAUGAUCACUAACCACAAGCAAACCCUUCCUUUCUUGUUCAUCUGUUUCAUUUGACAAUUUCCUAUUUGCCAGUAUAUCACUUUCAUGAUCUUUAACUGCUGAUAAAUUCUUCAUUUCAUGCCCAUCUUUCUGGGUAGAUAUUUCCUGAUUCGUUGGCAAAUCAUCUUUAGAUCUCUGGAUUUGAGCCUUAAUAAUUGUUCCUGGAGGUGCAAGCGCAACAUCUUUGUAUGAUGGCGCAUUUUCAAGACUAGCAAUCAGAGUAUUCUGUGACUCACCCUCCCUUUGAUCUUUGGAUGCAAUGUUAUAAAGAGAUGGUGAUUCCACUUGAGCAUUUGUUUUCUCACUGAAAAUCAUAGAAUUAUCAAUCUCCUCCGUAGAUGAAUUCACCGACUUCACUCUGUAUGAUACAGAUCUGUACACUUUACGACUAAAUUUGACAUUUGGUGGCUGAACUAUCUCAUUUGUAUGAUCUGUGUGGCUACCAGGGGUUACAAUCCGUUUCUUUACUACGUAAUAGUGGCUGCUCGAAUAAGAAAACUUUGGCUUGGAUUGAGCAGUAUCAUGAGCCCUUUCACUAUUUGUGCGGUAUUUCUUAAUUCGCUUUCCAGAAACUCCCGCUGAUCUGGGCCGUUGGACUGGUUGCCAGCCAUCGUCUGGUCCUGAGAUUUCAUCACUCAACAUUUCAUCAACAAUAGUGAGCUUCUCUUCAGUUUUAACUUUAAGCUCUUCAGACUUUACUAACUGGUCUUUAACUUCAACUUCAAAUUUAGGCUCUUCAGACUUCUUGGGUAUUAAGCUCUUCAGACUCCUUGUGCUGUUGUCAUCUUGGCUAAGGUUGGAUUCAUUGAAUUGCCUUUCCUCAUCUGAAACUGAUAAAUAUGGCUCUUUAGGAGACAACCCAGGGCUUGCAAUAUUCAAGUUCAGAGAAGAAUUGCCUUUGGCCUGAUCAGGAAAGGAAGAAAUAUGAUUAAUCAUGUAGAUAAACAAUAGUUAGCCCCAAAAUAAUAUACGAGAAUCAAUUAAAUUGGACCAAUGCAAUAGAAUUGGCUAAACUAGAUCAAGUGUGGGCCGGUUUUCAAUUCUGAGAUGCACAACAUACUGAACAUCUUCUCAACAAAAAUUUAUGUUGUAUCUUGAUCUCCUUUUGACUGUAAGUGACAGAUGUUCACCAUUUUAACAAUUACACUUAUACAACUGCGAAAUUAAUUCUAUGACGAUGAUUCAAAGCUUCAAAUAAUAGGAUUUAAUUGACAAAUUCGCAAAAAAAUAACUUUCAACUGGUUCCUGCGAGAAAAGAAAAUUGACAAAACAAUAAAAAGGUUACUAAUAUGACUAAUAGAUAAUAUUGAAAAGAAAUGGUAGUGCAAAAUUACCAGAAUAACAAUUGGACAGGAAAAAAGGAGAAAAAGAAAAGGAAAAACAACUACAACUGUAAGCUUCAGAGAUGGGGCUUGCGUAAAAAAGACUGGCCGUUCAGCAACAGAAAUAGAAAUCUAAAGUAACUAUCUAUUUAUAAGUUGAGAUUUAAAAACAAAUAACCUGGAUCUCAAUUUCUGAUCACAACCAGUCAAGAUGAAUACCUAUAAACCAUUUUUUUUCAUGGUUGGCUAGUUCUGGCUGCAUAAAUUUCAUUUUUGACCAGUACACUAACAGUUCUGUAAAUAGAACUUUUUUUUAGCCUUUUGAGGUUCCUUCUACAUCUGAUUCAUUACAGCAAUAUGAAACUGCCAUAUCUAUCUGUUUUGUUGACUAAACUCCUCAUCUUAUUUCACUUAAUUUCUGUCCUUAGGCUACAUCUAAGUUUAUAACCAAAAGAAGAAAAUAAACAGAAAGACAAUUACAAACCAACCUUAACACCCAAACUUCUCCUCCUUGUUGACUCAGAGUCUCUACCUUUGAUCUCCUGGUUGGGAUUUAUGUAAUCAAGAAGAUCAGAAACACUGCCAAAAAGAAGGAAAGAUUUAAGAUUUCAUCAUACAAGUAUACCUUCAGAAAUUUGUUUGAACUUCCGCAUUUAGUAUAAGUACAUAUACACACGACUACGGGAAGCAGCAAAAUAUGCCACUUUAGCAGCAUCAUGAGUCGGCAUAAUAGUUAUACUCUAGCAAAGUUUCAGAUCCAAUUGGUAAGUUCAAUACCAAAUUUUGUACCUUAGGUGGCCUUUGCUAGCAAUGGACGCAUCAGGCUUCCGGGUACCAUUGCGAACAGCUUCCUGCUGCUCAAUAGCCUUUGAUUCAAAAUAUUCAAGCCAAGCAGCAGCAUCCUGAGAAAUUCAGCGAAACUUCUGCUUAUAAGACUCGAGAAAACAAGAAGUUAAAAAGGGCAAAAGGAAGAAAAGGAAAAGACAAUCCAAUAACUUCUUGGAACCAAUCUAUGAUUACAAUACCUGAGUCCGCAAGUCAUCGGGACCAAGCUUUGCUCGCAGAAUUCGCAAGGUAGUUUGCUCAUGUUGAACGCUCAAUGGAUAUGCUUCCAUCAAGGAGAGUGCAAUAGCUAUAGCAUGGUAGCUGGCUGCAGUCUGAAGGUUUAGAAGUAAUAGAAAAAAAAAUUAUAUAAGAACAAAAUAUAAGAAAAAAAAAAAUGAAAGUAGUCAAGAAAAUGCAGGGGCAUUUAAUAUACUUACAAAGUAUCUAUUUGCAUAUCAACCGCUGUAAAACAUGAAAUUUCAUAUAUACUCCCCUAAAAGGCCUAGUUCCUUACUAAUAACCUUCUAGUUGGGUUAGUCAUUUAAUUCGUAUGCCAGAAGUCUAUUUUUUAUUAGAGGCAAAAUAAAGCCUUUUAAGGGCAUAUGAAAACUCGGAUUUGAAUGAUAUAUUUGCAUGUAAAUUAAGUCAGAAUUGUAAGGAACUACAAGAGAAUAUCUUUUAUGUUUUAAGUGCUCCACAAUCUCAUUUGAUGGUGAAAUUACAAAAUCCAGGAAUGAGCUAACAGAAGCCUCCUUUGUUACUACUGUAACCGUCCAGCUCAAAGUGUGACUACAAGCAUUUUUCAACCUAUACACACAUAAGAUGUAUUUUCAGAAGAAAGGCAGCUAUUUUAUAGAACAACGGAAAAAGGAAGCAGAGGGAAACAAGAUAUAGUAGAAGGAGACCUGAAUAUGGUCAGGGCCAAGUAAUCUUUGGUUGCAUUUCAGCGCUUUAUGGAGGUAUCUUAAUGCGACAUGCACAUUUCCCAAGCCUUCCUCCAUCAUGGCCACAUUGAUGUAUGUAGCAGCUGUAUUUGGAUGGGAUGGUCCACAAGUAAGAUGCAGGAGAUACAAUGCGCGCUUCACAUACCUGAUUUACAGAAAAAAUUAAAAGAAAUAGAUUGAUGGCAAGAAACUUCAAAAUCAUGUUUAUUGGAUGAUCUAAUUUCAACUUAAGAGGAACAUAUACAAGUAGAAGUGUAGAACCAAACUUAAGAAAGCACUAGUUACAUAGAAAAAAGAUUUGUAAAUGUAAUAAUGAAAAGGAAAUAUGAUUCACGAAGAACUGGAUCACUUAGGCCUCAUUUUGGCAUCGUGUUAGUUUUUAUUUUUUUAAUAGAAUUUUGUAUAUCAAAAGGUGUACAGUGGACGGUGGAUUGUUUGCAAUCCUUUCAUCCAAAGUAUUUGGCAACAAAAAACUAAAAUUUGAAAGCAACAUUUUUUUGCUUCCACAAUUAUUUUAAACAAGUUAUCAUCUAUCGCUUAGCCGGAUGCAUUGUAAGCUGGUCAACUAUAACAACAAAAGUAGUAUUUCCUCCAACAUAUCAAAUUAUAUUGAAUUACUGUAAAAAAAAUAAAAAACAAACAUGAUACCAAACGAGGUCUUAAGUUUCGAAUAAUUAGAAAUUCCCAUCACAGUUAUGUAAGAAGAAAUGCCAGAUAGCAUACAUCAGACCGCUUUGACAGAAAGUGACCUUAAAUCCUACAUUAUUUUGUUUGAUCUACAAGAGAAAUUAUAGGUGACAAUCGCUUUAUUCAAGAACUGAUAUAAUGUUCUGAUCAAGAAAGCCUUUGAUAUACAACGUAGUCCUAAUUUUUCCCUCUGAUAAUAUACUUCUCUAUAAAAUUUCUAUAAUAAAAAAAAUAGCAACAAUGAUUACAGAAAUUAUUAUAUUUGAUGAUCGGAAACAAGUACUGAGAAGAUUAAGUGCUGAUGUCUUAAAGUGAUAACGGGAUGCAAUUAUAAAUUAAGUGCUCUUUAAGGUAGCCUCUUUAUAAAAGAUAACAAUGGGAAAUAAGGAGUCUGUUAAUGCUGUUUUAUAAAAUUAGAAUGUAACCGCCAUAUAAGGCAUUAUGGCCCAAUACUUUCACCUUACAUAAUGCAUAUAUUUAAAGGUUUGAGUCCAUAGAGCAGCCAUUUAGUGCAAAAAUGUUGAAGGUCAGGAGUGGGUAAUUGCCUUUUAAUUUCUCCCUACAUGGUGAAAUGAUAGUAGCUCAAUGGACAGCAUAAUGGAAAAGAUCUUCAUAUUAGGUUGUUGUUACUCGUAAGUGAUAAAACCACCUAGCCUUAAUUAUAGGAUAUCGAAAUAUAUUUAGAGUCUAGGUUUUAUGUUAACGGUUUAUGUUUCAAAGGGUUUAGGGUUAAGGGUAAAGCCAUAAACCUUAUUUUCGGUAGAACAAUAUCUAAACAUCUCCAUUCUACAGUUUGAGACUUCGUUAUGAUUUGUGAAACCAACUUGUUUGUAUGUGUUUCUGAGGAUGCUUCCCCUUCUCUAACUUAGCAUUCUUGUGGCAAUGGUAUUGCAGAUCACCUGUCCAGAUAUAUCCUAUAAUUAUAUAGGUGCAAAGAAUAUAGACCUCGUAAUAAUAACUAAACAAGCAAAAUUAGCUAUAUCUCACAUUUUUAUAGUAAUGAAGAAAAAGAUGCCAUAACCAAAUCAGAUACACAUGACAGCAAAAGUUUGGUAAACAAUGGGGUAUUAUGAGCUUUUCGAGCUAGCUUGUGAAAAGAAGCUGUAGUUAUUGUAUGAAAUAACCAAAAUUAAAAAAAGUAAUAGAACAAGCAUAGUAGAGAUGAGAUGAGUUAUUAUAAGUUUAUAAAGCCACUUAGAAAGAAAGUUUAGUUAACAAUUAAAUGAACCAAGAUUAGAGAAAGUAAGAAUAUUUGACUUGGGAGAUAACAAGAAGUGUUAAUAGCACAUGCAUGCCACAAGAGAAUUUGAAUUUGGAAAGCUGCGACAUGCAACUUACUUAAGAGCCAACUCUGUAUGUUGAAGUCUGUAAUAGAACACAGCAAGGUCACCAUAACUCUUCAUUGUGUCAGGAUGAUCCAACCCGAGUUCCCUUUCAUUUAUGUCUAGAGCCUUUUGCUGAUAAAUUGUGGCCUGUAAUUUUGAAACUAUUUCAAUUAUGCAACAAGGAAAAAGGAAUAGAAACUUGUAGAAAAAAAUCCAUCAGAAGAGACAUGCUAUAUGAUGACUAUCAUGCCUUUUCUAAAUGGAUAGAUUCAGAAUGAUCAGCAAAUCUCUUGACCAUGAUUACCCUUAAUCCUGAUUUCAGAUGGUCAGACCGGCCAAACUAGAUAGAUUUUUCUCAACUGAUUUGGCCAUGCAUUAGCUCAUAUACUGUAUAUAUUCUAUUAUAAGGGUCUGUUAUUCUAUCCUUGAUAACUUUACCAUAAACAUGUAUUGAAGCGCAUUUCAAAAUACAUAUUCUUAAUCAUCUAGAUGCAUUUCAGGACCAACACUUCUAACAAUGCAGGUGAGGAUUCUUUUAUCAAACAAGUUUGUAGUAAUCUUUAUUGCUGGUGUACAAAAGGAAAGCUCUUAUAUAUACCAUCUAAACCAAAAAUAAUUUGAGGAUUUCUUUAAUUGCACCUGAUUAAAAUCUCCAGUAUGAUAAAGAACAACAGCUAAUAGGCUGUAUGCUCCAGCUGUCAUCCGAUGAUAAGGACCGCACACUGCUAUAAGCUUAGCAAGAGCCUGGAAUCAUAGAUAUAGCUUCAUAUAAGGAGAUUCGCAAAGAUUGGUCUUUCACACCGAACUGGAAGAUUUAUCUUAUUUAGGCAUUACCUUUGUUCCAUAAUUGACUGCAUCUUCAAGUUUGCCCUUGUCAAGAGCUGUUUUUGAAGAUUCCAAGAGUUGCCGUCCAUCAGCUGACGAACAUGCAACUUGCUGCAAAUUUAUUUAAGAGGAGUGUGAAUAAUUGUCCUUAGACUUUAAACAUGUGAAGAUGGUAUCACUAGAGUCACCAUGAAGCUUGCAAUGCUCACCUUAUGCACUGGUAUGAGGCUAACAAUAUCAAAUUUGUGAAAUGGGAAAGCAGAAUCCAUAUCAAAGUCUUGUGGAGCCAACUCAAGACCCACCUAAAUCACAAACUCAUGCAUAAGUUUAAUGUUAUAAGUAACACCAAGUUGGGCCUUCUAACCAUGUCCCUGCAAAAUAUCUAUUUACAUAUAUAACUCUAUAAAAUUUGAAUUUUCAUAUAUACCCUUGAAAGUGCCGUUUCAUUCAAAAGUAUCCUCAAGUCUAGAAAUCAUCGAUAAUUCAUUAGAUGGAAGUUAGUUUUCAUUAGAAAGAUUAUUUACGAUGGGUGAUAUAUAAGAGUGGUCUUUUUGUAAGAACAAGUGCUUAUACGUAUAAAACAAAUUAAGCUUUACAAUGGUGAGCUAGAAAUAUUUAUAGAAGUAGCUACUUUCACUUGGAUCCAUACAAUUCCAACCACCAAAUAGUAAACCUUAGACAUUGAAGGGCCCAAAAAGCGGAAGUAGCACACUUGCAAAAGUAUACUAGCUGGAUUCUAUGUGUGUGUGAAAGAGAGUCCAGCUAGUCCAGCUGGAUUCUAUGUGUGCGUGAAAGAGAGUCCGACUAGUCCAAUUACCAUCCUCUUAUAAGGACGUAAAUAACGCAUAUUGUAGACGUUUUAGCCCUUGGAUGCCUAGGGUUCGGCGGCGGUAUGUGGAACAGUAUUUGAUCCAAGGGCUACAAGUUUAUAGUAUGUACUAUUCAUAUCUUGAUAAGAGAACUAUAGCUAGACUCUCUAUAUAUAUGUAUGUAUGAAUCUGUGUGUGUGUGUAGAACUAAGCUAAUACUAUCGGUAGCAUGGAGGCCUCCAUGCUACCAAUUUGUUUUUAGUUAGGAUAUUCAAAUUAAUGAUCGGCUCCAUUAAACAUGAUCUACACUAUUAGAUGUAUAUAGAAAUCAAUUUUCAUGAUUUUUCAACAUUAUUUACCUUUAAAACGAAUAGUCUCAAAAUAAAUGUCUAACAAUAAAAAUCUCAUAAAAAUAAUGAUAAAAGGCUUAAUUUCAAAUCAGAGGUAUUGAUCUUGCUCUAAAUAGUAAAAAAAAUUAUCUAUCAUAAUUUCACUGGAUUUGGAUUAUUUUACACCGUUAAACUUACAAAUGCAUCAUACCAUUCAAAUUCUCAAUUUUGAAACCCUUUGAUCACUAGUCAAAUGAUGUCGAAGAAAUAUGAAAUUUGGUUUCUCAUCAUCAAUUCGGAUGUCCCAUCAUCGAAAACAAUUUGAUAGUACGAAGGCCUCUGUGCUACCGAUCUUAUACAAGAAGAACUCUGUGUGUGUAUAUAUAUACAUACAGCGAGAGAGUCUAGAUUUUAUAGGAUCGAUAGCACGGAGGCCUCCAUGCUAUCAUGGGAUAUCCGAAUCAACGAUCAGCUCCACAUUAGACAUGACCUAUACUAUUGAAAAUAUCUAGAAGAAACCAAAUUUCAUUUUUUUUUUCACCAUCAUUUACCUUUAAAACAAAUAGUCCUAAAAUGAACGGCGGAAAAUAAAAAUCUCAUAAAAAUAAUGACAAAAGACUUAAAUUUUAUAUCAGAGGUAUUGAAAUUGAGUCCUUUUGAAUAACCUAUGUGAUGCAUUUGUAAGUUUAUCAGUGUAGAAGAAUCCAAAUCCACUAAAAUGUUUUGAUAGAAAAUUCUUCUCACUUAAAAUUUUGAUAGAAAGUUCUUUUUCACUAUUUAGAACAAGAUCAAAUACCUCUGAUCUGAAAUUUAAGUCUUUUACCAUUAUUUUUUAUGAGAUUUUUACUUUUAGCCACUUAUUUUGAGACUAUUUAUUUUAAAAGUAAAUGGUGUUGAAAAAAAAUUAUAAAAUUUAGUUUCUAGAAACUUCCAACAGCAUGAAUUAUGUCUAUCAGAGCCAAUCGUCAAAAACAAAUUGGUAGUACGGAGGCCUCCGUUAUAUUCUAGCCUAGUUCUCU